Non-coding RNA from Callithrix jacchus (white-tufted-ear marmoset), 68208 nucleotides. Lineage: Eukaryota; Metazoa; Chordata; Mammalia; Primates; Cebidae. The record is from RefSeq and is a predicted model, not a curated record.
ACAACAUGCUCCUCCCAGGUUCCGGCAGUUCUCCUGCCUCAGGCUCCCCGGUAACUGGGAUUACAGGUGUGAGUCACCAUGCCUGGCUAAAUUUUUUUUGUAUUUCUAGUAGAGACAGCGUUUUGUUAUGUUGUCCAUGCUGGUCUGGAAGUCCUGGCCUCAAGUCAUCCACCUGCCUUGACCUCCCAAAGUGCUAGGAUUACAGGCAUGGGUAACCACGCCCAGCCUACUAUUGUUUCUUGACAAUCUUUCCUGAAGAAUUUAUCUUUUUGUGGCUGAAUAUGACUUAAUUUGUUUUCUAGAAAGAUGCAUUUAUACAUUUAUACAAAACAUAUUGGUUUUCCACUAGGCUUUUCUUUUUCUAAAGACCUUCAAAUCUUAAGAGAAAUAUGACAUUGAGUAUCAAAGGAAUAUAUUAGAGAAAAUAAAUUUUCCCUGCCUCCAGCCUUCCAUUUUACAUUUGGCUAAACUUUGGGAAUCAUCUUAGAAGAGUCGGGUGGUAUUUCGAGUGAGAUUCUCCCAGAUGCAGUUUAGUUGGGAAUGAGUCACAUGGGUGCUUUCUUAAUGCUAUGUGACGACACAUCAGCACAUGAAGAUGACUGAAUUUUCUGUUUCCUCUUUCUUUGCAUUAGCACAUUAUUUACUUUGUCUCUUUUUCAGUGAUGAGUAUCUAGCUUUGUCUUUUCACUUCCUUUCACAUUUCAAGGCUGUUUUCACAUUCAGAAUUGAUUAAAAAUGCACAUUUUUCUGAAAAAUGCUACUUUCACCAACACAUUCAAUGAUGCUGUUCAGAGUUCUGGGAUGGAGUUUAAGAGGAUAUAUUUUCAAUGUCUACCACCGUCACUCACUGUCUCUAGAGGAUGUAGGUACAGUUGGGCUGUGGAUUAUACUUUAAAAAAUUCUGGACUAAAGGAGCUGAUUGAAUGUUAUCUUUUAUUACAGUAUCUCUUCCCCAAUUGCCUUGGCUCAGUAUGUGCAACCACUAGAUUUAGAUUUGUAGGUUUCUUCCAACGCAUUUAUGUUCCCAUUCAUAGUUUACUAUGUAUCAAUGGAGAGGAUUCUCUGAAAUUAACCUCCUUUUAUCACUUCUAACCUCUUAUUCUUGGGUUUUGACCACUUUGCUUACUCAGGGAUUCCUCAAAUAGCAUUUUUAAAAAGUGCUCUAAAGAGUAAAUUAAAGAAACACUUUUAAUGAUAUUCAGUUAUCUGGUAAUGAUUUGGACUUAAUGAUCCUGAAAUUCUAUAACUCAAUAAAAUGCAUUUAUGAUGUUAUACGUCUAUAUUUAAAUUACCUAUGAAGAUUUAAAUCACAGCAAAACUUCUUUUUCUCAGAGAAUGCACAGUGGAUGUUGUGAAUUUACUUUUCGUUUCUUUCCAGCAUUUCUUUUCCCAUUUUGUUUGAGAUAAUUUGUUUUUAUAAUUUGACAUAUUAUUUUGGUGUUUGCUGCUUAGAUAUUGCAACUAUUAUGGGUAAGUGAGCUGGCUAUUGACAUGGUUUGCCACUUAUUAUAAAUAAGAAAAUCAAGACAAGUCAAAUUGUGAGAACCUGCUAAUGAUGAGAUUGCAGUUAUGGUUGGAUAUACAUCAAGGAUAGGGGUAGCUAGCUGCUAUUUAUUAUAACACUGUACCAAGUGUGUUACCUUUGGUAAUUUCAUUUUUUCUCAUUUUAUUCUUAUGUAAUCAUGUGAGUAUAAUCAUUCUAGUGUUACAGAGGAGAAAACAGAAUCUUGGAGAGUAACCUGCCUUAACCACACCAAUGUAAGUAAUAGAGGCAGAGCACGAAUCCUGGCUUGCUUGACUUCAGAGUCUCUGCUUUCUCCACUAUACUAUGCUGUUGUGAUUCUUAAUUCAUUUACUGUAUGCCAACUCAAUCAAAAUAGGUUUUGUCCAGUGGAAACUCUUUAUAUGAUACUAUAUUGGUGGAUGCAUGUCAUUAUACAUUUGUCCAAACCCGUAGACUAUAAAACACCCAGAAUGAACCCUAUUGCAAACUAUAGACCUCAAGUGAUAAUGAUGUGUCAGUGUAGGUUCAUCAAUUGUAAAAAAUAUUCUGCUCUGUCCAGGUGUGUGGAUAAUGGAGGAGGCUAUACAUGUGUGGGAGCAGGAGCUAUGUGGGACCUUUUUGUACCUUCCUCUUAAUUUUGGCAUAUAUGUAUUUCUUUUUCUUUUCUUUUUGAGACAGGGUCUCACUCUGUUGCCCAGGCUGGAGUGCAGUAGCACAAAAUGCAGCAGCAGGAUUCUCCCACCCUAGCCUCCUAAGUAGCUGAGACUACAGGUAUGCACCUCCAUGCCUGGCUAAUUUAAAUUUUUUUUUUUUUUUUGUAGGGACAAGGUCUUAGAAUGUUGCCCAGGCUGGCCUCGAACUCCUCAAUAAAGUGAUCCUCCCACCUCUGCCUUCCAAAGUGUUAGAAUUAUAGGCAUAAGCCACUGCCCCUGGCCUAAAUAUAUAUAAUUUUUUUUUUGAGACGGAGUCCUGCUGUGUCAUCCAGGUUGGAGUAUAGUAGCACCAUCUCGGCUCACUACACCCUCUGCCUCCUGGCUUGAAGUAAUUCUUGUGCCUCAGCCUCCCAAGUAGCUGGGAUUACAGGCAGGUACCACCAUGCCUGGCUGAUUUUUGUAUUUUUAGUAGAGACAGGGUUUCACCAUGUUGGUCAGGCUGGUCUUGAAUUCCUGACUUCAAGUGAUCUGCCUUCCUCUGCCCCCCAAAGUAUGGGGAUUAUAGGUGUAAGCAAUCACGCCUGGCCAAAAAUAUUUUUUUUUUUAAGAUUUUGUUCUGAUUCUGAUGGAGAAUGGACUCUUUUCUAAAGUUAACAGCAGUUACUUAACUGGUUAGUGCUAAGUUAGGCAUAGCUCAUAGUUUUUAAGGUGGCAUAUAUGUGAAAAAAGAGGGGAGGCGGACAAAAUCAAGACAGCAGAAGUAGCUGUUUGAGGGAUUUUGGAAUUCUUGACUGACACUCACUUCCUGGGACAGUCCUGAUUUUGCUGCUCUUUCCUCACCUCUUUCUUUUCAAGACUUACGCCCUGCACACUAACCCUAGCUCUAACCCUUCCUGCUGAUGGACACCCCAUUCACAGGGCGGCAGAGACUAGAUGUGAGGAAUAGAAAGAAAAGCAGUUGUUCCUUGAUUGUUCCUAUGAGUUAUACAUUCAGGCUCUUGGUUGGAGGGCUCCGAUGUGAAAGCCUGGCUUCAGAUCCACUGAGAAAGUAGCAUGACUGAAGUGGUGAACUGGAGAUGAAGUGGGGGUGGCCUACCAUGAGGACUAAUUUGUUCUUUAAGUUUAUCUAAUGGUUUGCAAGGGUGGAAAUAUCUCUGGGGAAAUGUGAUGGAUUCUCCUAGGAAACUCACUUCACCAAAUAAUUCUUUUGAAACUGUUUUCAGAAACGAGACAAGUGGCAUGAAUCUAUUUACAAAGAGAAUCACCUCUGUGUCUGUGACCCGAGAGGCAUUCCCGUGGUGAUACAACUUGGACAUUUGUUCAGGGGGCCAGUGCUCAUGCUGAGUGAUUUUCAAAGCUGUAUGAGGGCAUUUAUCAGGACUUUAACUCUAGGUACUCUUUCCCACGGUGUGAAGACCAAGAGAAGGGAUCCUGGGAUCUCUUCCCUGGCCCCAGAAUGGGAAUUCAAGGGGAAAAGGUCACCUAUUCUUAUCCCACAAAAGAAAACUUAUUCAUCAGUUGUCAAGCAAAGGAGCUUCAGAGUCCACAUGUAGGGAAAUUGCUAAGAGCUUAUCGGUAGUAUCCACCUCCCACCCCAACCUGUGGCCACAUGGAGAAUGAUGGUGGGGGCCCCGGAUCUUGUCCUACCGCAGGUGAAAAGCGGGGGUGGGGUGCUUCAUUCUGAAGGGCUCCUUUGUUAAAAUUCCUUCCAAUUCCAGGAAAAACAUGCACUCCAAAGCCAUUGUCUUUUUUGCUUCUUACUAGGGGACUUCCAGGAGAGAGAGAGAGUGAGAGCGAGAGCGAGAGCGAGAGCGAGAGCGAGAGCGAGAGCGAGAGAGAGAGAGAGAGAGAGAGAGAGAGAGAGAGAGAAUGAGAGGAAGAGAGAGGAGAAAAGAUGGCAAAACAGCUGCAGUGAAUUUAGUCACCUCUCCAAUUACUUUUCUUGUUGCAGAAGAUUUCACAUCUCAGGAUUUUCUUUCUUGUCCUCUGGACUGUUGAUACACUCAAGAUCAUAAUAACCCUUCCAUCACAGGUUAAAGACAUGGCGGGGGCCUGGGUUUGGCGGGAAGGGUAGAAAAUUCUAUUUUAAAGUCCUGUUCCAUUGUUUUACCCGCAAUUAAAACUUUUUGUGGUCCCCACCCUGUUUAUGACAGCAGGGACUGUGAGGCCACCCUGCUGUGAAUUCAAUCCAGCCUGACCAGCUAGGACAAUGAUCAUAUGAAUUAAUGGGUCUUGAUAGACCUCAGUUACCCUCUUCUCCCCUCACUGAGCGCAGCCCAGGCUUCAGUGGCUGCACGUGUGAGCAUUUACUCCCACACUCUACUCAAAGCACGUGUUGAAUUCAUUGCAUGUGUGAGCCACACUGCUGCACCUGUGUUCUGGAGCUAGCACAGUAAAUGUAGCCAUGCACCUUUUUUGGGUGUCAGAGGACCUGAGGCUGCUCCUCUGCCCCAAUGAGGGGCUCUUUUUUCUUUCCUCACAUCUCUCCUUCUCUGUGAAGUUGGAAGCACGACUUGAACCCAGCCUCUUGGGAGAGGUGAAAUGUUUUGCUUUGGAACAGCCGAGGUUUGCUCAUGGAAGCGGUGGAGGUGCUGAAGUCACAACCUCAUGGUGUGUAUGAUGCUGGCGUUUCUUAGUAAUAAGCCUUGCUGACACAUCCCAGGAGAGGAAGUUAGGUUAGGGUAAGGCAAGUGAAUGAAAUUGUUUAAAGGCUGCCACAGAUGAAAAAAUUAAUUGCACUUUAUUUAGGGUUAUGAUGUCCUCUUUCCUGGGUUAAUCCAGAGGCAGUGUGGGAUUAGGGCUCCUUAACGUAUACCUGGAAGAUUUCGUGUCAGAGGAAGGUAGGAUGGGGGAAUCUGUAGGGUCUGGGCUGUGAGCAAGCAUUGAGAGUUGAAAUUGAGCCUCACAGGGAAAGCCUUCCUUAUCUCCCAUAACUGGGAAUUAUGCUCGUGUCUGAGAAGGAGAGGCCUCCUAGAUGCAGGGUUUACUGUACAACUGAAGGACAGCAAGGCUGAUGGUCACAGGGAUGUAAAAGUGCUUUGCAUUCAGCAGUCACUUAAUUAGCUAUUCAAUGACUCAGUUAAACUAUUUUGUGAUAAACUUUGUUUGAUAGGCUGUUGCCCUGCAGUGGUUGGCAAAUAUGCUCAUUUUUGAGGUUCACAGCUGUCUCUCCUUCCUAAGUUUCUACUCAGGCAUCACUCAGCUCCUGGUAGGUGUGAGAUGUGAUGAUCACUAUAGGGUAGGCAGCUUGGAAGGAAGGAUUGGUGAGCAGUCUUUUGCUUUGAGUUACUACUGCAUUGUAGGCCAAAUUCCUCUAAUUUUUUUUUUAAUGACAGAAUGUAGAUAGUGAUAUUGUUAUUUCCUGUGAAGCUAGAAUAACCCAGAAUACUAAAACCCCUUGGGCAAGGAAAGCAAACACAACUCAAGACAAACCACUUGCACGACAGCCUUCAAACGGUGAUUUAGAUUUAAAAAGUUAAGGGAUCUUGAAGACCACAUAUUCCUUGGGAAAAGCACAUGAUCUGGACAGUCCGAAAUGCAUCAUCAGCCCCUUGGAGGAGGUCAGUGACCCAUGUUAUGUUAGGUAUAAAAUUCCAGGUUGGUGGUAUUUCGUGGUGCAACUCCUGAGGGCUCCUGCAUUAUAACAAUCUUCAAAUGGUUUGAUCAAGUUGAGAGUGAGAAUUAGAGAAACAAAACUGAAGAUUGUUUUUUCUCUCUGAGUAAUGAGGCUCUUGGAGGAAAAGCUUAUUCUAUAUAUGGUUUUUAUCUUCAUUUCCACUUCCUGAUACCCAGAUCUGCACAGGGAGAUCUUUAACCUGGAUAGCAGUGUGCAUUUCUAAUUCAGCCUCAGGGUAGUCUCCUACUGUGUAUAUGAGAUGUUGAACACAAAAAGAAAUCACCUGAGAGUGGAAAUUGUGGAGGAGGCUGGGCCAGAUGCUUGCCUGAGUGAUGAGCUGCAGAUACCAGCUCAAGUGGAAUACAGUCAAGGGCUGGUACAUGACUCCAACAUCAUUGAAUUUCCUUUUUGUCCUGCCAGUGGACAUGACAGCUGAGGAUAAGGUGGCUGGGAGACCAUGAGGGACCAAAUGUGACACAAGGCAGGAGUCUUUCGUGGGCUUGCCAGCUGGUUCGUGUUUCCUUAUGUGGCAGGAGCUUUCUCUGGUAGGGCAGAAAGACAAUGAGAUCUCUACACGAUUUUAUGGAUCAGUUUUCACUUUCCCAGAUGCAAAGAGAGGAGCCAUAAUUACCUUGCAUAUGUUCUGAUAGUAUCCCUUGGGCAAGUGGAAGGGGUAACUCACAAUAGAUAAACUCGGCUUUUGCUCCAGAAAUGUCUUCUGCAUCUGCAACAAGGGGGUGUUGAGUGAUGCUACAGGCAGCUGGAAGGGCUCAUUUAUUUGACCUAAUUAUUCCCAGUGUAGACCUGACUCAUCAUAACGGGCUCUUCUUCAAAGGAAAUGAGAGCCAGAUUGUCUCCUUGGCAGCAAUGGAAAACAAAUGCUAUCCACAGAAUGGCUGUUAGAUUAAAAAAAGGUGCAACUUGCCUUUGGGGCCAGCUGGUGUUUAAUGAUGUUACCAAGAAUAGAGGACUGGAAAGAGAGUAGUGUCAAAUCCUGACAUUCUAGCUUUCUAAAAAUGUUCUUCAUAAAAUUAACUUACAUUGGAUGCCAUGAACAAAAGUAACCACAUACUCAGAAUCCAAGGAAAAAUGGAAGCCUUGGGAUGUUUUUAUUAAUAAUUGACAAACUCUCUAUGGGUACAAUGGAGGACUUUUCACACAGAGACCUUAUUAUUUCUUAAUCCCUUUGGAUUCUCUAUUGAAGGAUUAAAAUGGUCUUUUUUUCCUAAGGGAUGGAGAAAUGGAGAAAGAGAGUUGAAAUAACUCUCCUAUUGCUGUCAAGCAAAUCAAACACAGAAUGGGGCCAGCAUGCCACAUUCCCUCUGCAAAGCCUUGGAGUGAAACUGCAUUGGCUCAGUGGUGCAUUUCCCAACAUCGCAACUUCAUCUCGGAUCAUUGCAAAUUGUCUAUAUGGAAACCUGGGUCCAAUGAGAAUCAUCAUUUAAAUUUUCCCUGCUCCCACUUUUCUGCUUUACAGUGGUAGCUGAGUAUGUCCUACCCCUAAGGAUAUGGGAAAGAUGUGUACUUGACUGAUUGAUCCCUGUGACAUAGUCUGACACUUUGCUUUUGUUCAAGAAUUCUUGAAGCACUGGGCUGCAAUGAUGCCCCCUUGAUAGCACUGUUCAAAAGUUGACCUGUGUUUGCUGGAACCUCCAAGAACACUGUGUUUGAUUUGAGCCGGGAUCCUGUCUUGGAGGAGGAGAGGGAAUCCCACAAACUACUUGUAAAGAAGAUCCCAUUGUUCAGUCAAAUCCUCUGACACUGUAGCAAUCCAUGCAUGCAGUUGCCGUUGGCAUUCUGACACGUGUACAUAGUGUUUUCAUCUCCUCCCUGGAGUUGGGGCCAAAGCCUGAGGUUCCUUUCGACACCACCCUGAAAAAACUCUGGAUUUGUGCUCCCCUCUGCUCUGCAAUAACAUAACAGCUCUGUGGUGUGGCCAAUGUUUACCUAGUUGGUGGGAGGACUUUAAUAUCAAAAGGAAAACAUUUUUUCCGCAUUCCACAUAGGUAAGAUGUGGUUUGCUGUUCUUCAGGGCAGAAGAUGUGGGGUGGGGAAGGGAUGAAGAAAAGAAAAACAUUCCCCCCCAUUUUUUUUUUCUGAAAUUUUCAGGGCUAAAGUGAUGGGUCAGGGUAGGUGAGCAAAGAAACGAAUCAAGCAAUGGGGGAAGAUAAAAGAUAAACAGACUUUGUUUUAAAGAGUCACAGCCAUGACUGAGCAUAUGUUUCCUUUGCAUUCAGUUCCAAAAAUAGAUUAUUAGUAGUGAGAAGCAACUGGUUUCUGAUGCUUAUCAGAGAUCAGCUAAUAUCAUUUCCAACUGUUGGGGUUAGAUAUAGGGUAGGCUGUAUAUCUAACAGAAAGAGAUUACUAAGCUUCGUGAUACCUUGGAUUAUAUUUCACAAAGCUGUUUUCUGGCCAGAUAAAGCAGUUAGCUAAGUAAGAGGAAUUUGCCCACGGAUAAAAGGGGCUGGUAACUUGUAGUGAUCAUUGUAGAUACUCUCUGUUUUAAACAGUGUGAAUCUACUGGCAGUUUAUCAGUCAUUGUGGAACAGGGUUAUGAGUGAGUGAGGGAUGAGUGGGAGGGGACACACUGCAGACCAAUUGGGUGAAGAAGCGGGUGCAGUUGGGAAUGAAAAUCAGUGCUCUGCUUUUUCCAUAGACCCUACAGAUGGCAGCUUGUGGGCUAGAGAUUCCCUGAACCUCUAAUGCUACCUAGAAACCUGAAGAGGCUGAGGGUGCCCUGUUCUUAGGGAAAGAACAACCUUGCUCUAAGUUGUGUUGUUACAUGAUGUGUCGGUUUGCUUUAGUUUGUUAGUUUCUCAAGAGUAGAAUCUGCCAAGGAUAUUCCCCAGAAUCUGCUCACUUACUAGAGAAACCAAGAGAGUCCUAGCAGCACAGCGGGAUCAAGAAGGUUGAGAACAGAACUGGAGGUGAGAAUAUGGCCACAGGAGGCUCCAGGACUAAAGAAGUGCACUGAUUUGACUUAUUUUCUGGAUGUAUGGAGUGCCUUUACUUCUCUUUAAAAAAGGGGCAGUGCUAGUGGUAUUGACAUUUCUCGAAAUGUUCACAAGUCCUUACUAUAGACCUCAGGGACUUGCAGUGAUCUAUGAAGACUGGAUAUGCUUCAAGUGGAAGGUUGCUAACUUUAUUUUGGUUCCUAGGGCUAACAUCCCACUUUAUGGAUUGUCCAAGUUAAACUCUAAACAGCUGUUAGUCCUUUGUACCUCCCCAGAGCUCAGUCUUUCAGUUGACUGCUCAUUGCUGAGCCCUGUGCCGUGCACUCUGGGAGUGAUACAGGAAUUCUCCUCCUUAGGCAGUGAUUUGCAGAGGCUGAGUAGGUGAGGGUGUGAAGGUGUGUAAGGGUAUGGGCUGAUUUUUUUUGUUUUGACCAGGAUCUCACUCUGUUCCCCAGGCUGGGGUGCAGUGGCAUGAUCAUGGCUCAUGGUGACCUCAAACUCUUGGGCUCAAGUGAUCCUCCAACGUCAGCCUCCCAGUAACUAGGACCACAGGUGCAUGCCACCACACCAGGAUGAUUUUUUAAUUUUUGUAGAAUCAGGGCCUCACUAUGUUAUCCAGACUGGUCUUAAACUCCUGGCCUCAAGCAGUUCUCCUGCCUUGGCCUCCCAAAGUGCUGGGAUUACAGAAGUGAGCCACCAUGUCCAGUCUGAUUUGUUCCUUUCUAAUGUAGCUUUUAUUCUGAGGUUGAGGGAAACAAUAUUGUGCAGUUAUUAGUACAUUCUAUAAAUACUUAUUUGGCAUCUAUCCUGUGUCAGUCUGAGAUUCAAAGUUUAAUAAAAGACAGAGAAGCCAUCAAAGAGUUUAUCCUUGGUUCACAUUUCUGUCCUCUAAUGGACUCAGCUUGUCAAGCAUAGCAUUAUUCCUAUUUACUUCCCAAUCUCUGGCAUCUAGCAUAUACCCUGGCUUAUGAUUGGUACUCAGCAAGUAUGGAAAUGCUGUACAACAAGAAGUUUGCAUUGAUAUUUUUCUUUUCUUUUCUCUAACAACUUUGCCUCACACCUAACAACUGGCUGUUUUUUUUUUUCUAUCAAAAUAGAACAUUUCCCCUCUGAGUGGCUUAUUUAUCACUGUGCCUCUUACAGUUACUGUGAGGAGAAAUAACCCUUUCCCUUUUCGGCAUGACUGCCUUCCUGUUAGUACAGAUUAUAUCCCAUAGAAGCAGAAACUUUUUGUUCUUUUGUUCACUGCUAUAUCCUCAGCAUCAAGAAUAUACAGGAAUUUUAAUGAUUAUUUGUUGAAUGAAUAUAUAAAAUUGAAAUCAGGAAAAAGGUCCUAACUAUAUGAGUCAGGUUAGGUUAAGCUUCGCUGCGAUAACAAACAAACCUGAAAAUCUCAGCACCUGAGCAUAUUAGGUUUAGUUCUCUUUUGCACAAAGUUGACUGUGAGUCCUGUAGCCUUCCAGGUCAGCUCCUCACCCAGUGGCAACUUAAGGAUCUUGCCUGAUUACAUCCUGUAACUACCUAAUCCGGAACAUGCAGCUUUUGAGUUGCUGUAUUAUGGGAAGAUAGGUACAAAGGUUGCAUACUGAUUCAAGUGCUUUGAUUUGGCAAUGAUUCAUGUUUUUUUCUGUUCAGUCUUUUGCUCAUCAAAUAUGGGUAAGCCUAUGAGUAUUUGGUGAGCAUGCCACACUAAGUAUGUUAUUCAGUGUUUCCUAAAUGGUGCUGUAAUUACAUGGAAAAGUAACUUGGUGUCCCCUACUCACCGUUGCUACUUCAUUGCAGACCAGUCAAUUUCCAAAUGUCAUUUGCCUGAAGUCCAUCUUGAGAAGCCAGACACUGCUUAGGCUCUAGCAUAAGAGGCUCUCAGUGGCAAGUAACUAUGUUAUGUCAGGCCGGGAUUCAAAUUUUAAUAAGACAUAUAGCAGUCAUGGAAGAGUUUAAACUAUUUAAAUUUCUGGCUCCCAACUGAAUUAAGCUUGUCAAAGGCAGCAUUGACUCAACCAGUGACUCAGAGAGUUGAUAUGUAAUAUAAAUACCUCAGAUUCCUCACUACUCUGGUGAGAUAGCCCUGAGGUGCAUUUUCUAUACUACUUCCCAGAGAUGCCAUUUGGAUUAAACUCCAAUUAUCCACAGUGGUAACUUCCUUUAUUGCCAUCUCCCCUUCCCUGUCUCAUUUCCCUAUUUCCCAACUCUCCUGACCUUGUUUCUUGGAAUUCUGUCUAAAAUUAACUAUUUGCACUUGAGUCCAUGUCUUUGGGUCUGUGUAUGGGGGAAACCCCAAACUGAAAGAGAAGGUUAGAAGGUUACCUAAAUAGUUCUUGGUGUGUGUGUGAGUGUGUGUGUGUGUGUGUGUGUGUGUGAGAGAGAGAGAGAGAGAGAGAGAGAGAGAGAGAGAGCGACAGAGAGAAAGAAAGAGAGAAAUUCAUACAGAUUUGGGAGGGGGCCUUAGGGAGGUCUCUUCCUCCACCAUCUGCACUUGUAGAACCACUUAGGUAGCUAGAAUGAAAAAAGUGAAGGAAUACAAGUGAGGGGAAAGUAGAAUCCCUGAGAUACCAGAAACAUUUUCUAUUCUGUGUACUUAAGCACAUAAAGUCUGGAUCCUACUGUGAAAUUAUUGGCUACCUGAAGUCUCGGGGAGAGGAAUUCCCAAAGGCAUUCUAAAGCAAGCACUUCCUGGGCAGCCAACACGAGACCUGUGGUAAUUGGAGCCUUGUAUUUCUAAGCACUUCUCAGUGGGAUUCCAGAAGGGGUGUAAUUGGACAGGUUGACAAGAUGCUAUGGCUCCUCAUAAUUGCAACACAAGGUCCAGAGUCCAGGCUGGGCAUGGUACUGACGGAGUAAAGCCUGUGGUUAAUGGUCUUCCACCUCUCCUUUUAGUGACCUCUACUUUUUUUUUGGUGAUCUCCUAUUCACCAAGGGUCAUGUAAUGGUAAAGUGUCCUUAUAAUUUAUCAUCUAAACCAGGGCACUUAAAAAAAUUACCUUCCCAGUAUUCCAAUGAGAAAAACCAAGAAGUCAUACAGGGGCUCCAGAGGCCAGUAAGUGGCGGUGCCAGUAUUUAAAGUAAGAUUUGGGUGCUUUCUUACUGCACCACCCAUGUUCAGUGUUGACACUGACCAGGCGCUUCCUGGCAGGAGAAUGGGACUGGGGUACAGGUGAAGAACAUGCAAGAUUGUUGCAUAGGUAUAUACAUGGCAAUGUGGUUUGCUGCCUUCCUCCCCAUCACCUAUAUCUGGCAUUUCUCCCCAUGCUAUCCUUCCCCAGUUCCCCACCGCACUCUGUCCCUCCCCCAGUUCCCCCCUACAGGCCCCCAAUGUGUGAUGCUCCCCUCCCUGUGUCUAUAUGUUCUCAUUGUUCAAAACCCGCCUAUGAAUGAGAACAUGCGGUGUUUGAUUUUCUGUUGUUGUGUCAGUUUCCUGAGAGUGAUGGUUUCCAGGUUCAUCGAUGUCCCUACAAAGGACGUGAACUCAUCAUUUUUUAUGGCUGCAUAGUAUUCCAUUGUGUAUAUGUGCCACAUUUUCCCUGUCCAGUCUAGCAUCGAUGGGCAUUUGGGUUGGUUCUAAGUCUUUUUUAUUGUAAACAGUGCUGCAAUAAACAUAUGUGUACAUGUGUCUUUAUAAUAGAACGAUUUAGAAUCCUUUGGAUAUAUACCCAGUAAUGGGAUUGCUGGGUCAAAUGGAAUUUCUGUUUCUAGGUCCUUGAGGAAUCGCCACACUGUCUUCCACGAUGGUUGAACUAAUUUACACUUCCACCAGCAGUGUAAAAGUGUUCCUGUUUCUCCACAUCCUCUCCUGCAUCUGUUGUCUCCAGAGUUUUUGAUGAUCACCAUUCUAACUGGCGUGAGAUGGUAUCUCUAUGUAGUUUUGAAUUGCAUUUCUCUAAUGACCAGUGAUGAUGAGCAUUUUUUCAUAUGUUUGUUGGCCUCAUAUAUGUCUUCCUUUGUAAAGUGUCUGUUCAUAUCCUUUGCCCACUUUUUUUUUUUUUCUUGUAAAUCUGUUUUAGUUCUUUGUAUGUUCUGGAUAUUAGCCCUUUGUCAGAUGGGUAAACUGCAAAAAUUUUUCCCAUUCCGUUUGUUGCCGAUUCACUCUAAUGACUGUUUCUUUUGCUGUGCAGAAGCUGUGGAGAUUAAUUAGGUCCUAUUUGUCUAUUUUGGCUUUUGUUGCCAAUGCUUUUGGUGUUUUAGUCAUGAAGUCCUUGCCUAUGCCUAUGUCUUGAAUGGUUUUGCCAAGGUUUUCUUCUGGGGUUUUUAUGGUGUUAGGUCUUAUGUUUAAGUGUUUAAUCCAUCUGGAGUUAAUUUUAGUGUAAGGUGUCAGGAAGGGGUCCAGUUUCUGCUUUCUGCACAUAGCCAGUUUUCCCAACAUCAUUUAUUGAACGGGGAACCCUUUCCCCAUUGCUUGUUUUUGUCAGGUUUGUCAAAGAUCAGAUGGUUGUACAUGUGUGGCAUUGCCUCCUAGGCCUCUGUUCUGUUCGAUUGGUCUAUAUCUCUGUUUUGGUACCAGUACAAUGCUUUUUUGAUUACUGUAGCCUUGUAGUAUUGUUUGAAGUCUGGUAGUGUGAUGCCUCCAGCUUUGUUCUUUUUGCUUAGAAUUGACUUGGCUAUGUGGACUCUCUUUUGAUUCCAUAUGAAGUUUAAGGUGGGUCUUGCUCUGUAACCCAGACUGGAGUGCAGUGGUAUGUGGGCAUGAGCAUAGUUCACUGCAACCUAGAAAUCCCAGAUUCAAGCAAUCCUUCUGCCUGAGCCUCCCAAAUACCUAGGACUAUAUGUGAGUGCCACUAUUUACAGCUAAUUAAAAAACUUUUUUUUUAGAGAUGAGGUCUUGCUAUGUUGCCCAGGCUGGUUUUGAACUCCUGGCAUCAAGUGAUCCUCCCACCUUGGCCUCCCAAAGCCCUGGGAUUACAGGUAUGAGGCAUAGCACCUAGUCCCAGCACCUUUUGUUGAAAGGAUUAUUCUUUCUCUGCUCGAUAGCUUUUACAAUUUUGUCAAAAGUCAGUUGUCCACAUGUGCUUGGGUCUACUUCUGCACUUGCCAUUCUGUUCCAUUGAUUAUUUUGGUUUGUUUCCAUCAAUAGGACACUGUGCUGAUUGCUAUAGGUUUAUAAUAAAUCUGAACCAAGAUAGUUUCAGUCUUCCAAUUUUGUUUCAUUUCAAAGUUGCUUCAGGUCUUGAUUCUUUACAUAGUCAUAUGAAUUUUAGAGUCAGUUUAAUAGUUUCUACAGAAGAACCUAUUGGGAUUUUGAUAGGCAUUUUGUUGAUUCUGUAGAUGAAUUUGGAGAGAGUUGCCAUCUUGAACCUGUGAACAUGCAACUGGAGCACCUUUGAGAAUGAAGGAGGACAGUAUGAGUACACCAGGGCGGUUCUGGGUGGAUUGGGAAUUACGUUCAUCCUACCUGGUGCCCUCUUGUCACUGCCUGUGAUGACAUCUCACUGGUGGCAUGGUUCCCAGAACUCUCAUUUACUCCUGUUGACCUCAAAAUUUAUUAUGUUUCCAGUGAUUUUAAGUAUAUUCCUGGCACAAAUAUAUCAAUAAAUAAAACCUUAAAAUCACAGUAUCCCAAGGGACAUUUUCCUUGCAUGACAAAAGUGACAGUGGAUUAGCCUGAUAAGUCAAUCCCUAGUAAGAAUUAUGUAGCCUAUGUAUUAUUCUCUUACUCCUUCUUUCCACUCUCCAGUGCAUCCAACACAUAUUCGUAGAGCACGUGUGUACUGGAUAUGAUGCUUGGUAAUAUUCUUUAACUUUUAAAAAUGAACUUUGAAGGCAGGUUAGUGGGAAGGGCUUUAGAUUAUCUUUAAACAUUAAUCUUUCCAAAUUAAAUAACAGAUGUGAAAUGCCCAGUACUGUUUCUGAUUCAUACAAACCCCCCUACAAAUUCCCCUCCCUAGGAGCAAGCACAUCAGACUCCUGGACAGUCUCUGCAGCCAGCCAGGAAGGUCUUUCCUGGGGAGGGAGAGAAGGAUGUAAACCCUGAUCUUCCUAUAUUUGGGGUCGAUCAAAACCAAAACUCAUAUAAAGUUGGCAAAAGAAAACUCAAAAUAUAUUGUGGCAAAAAAUCUGGAUGAGUUCUUCUUGGUGUCACUGCCAGCAAUCUUGCAAGAUACUUUGGGACAUGACCUUCAUCAUUCUUUGCUGUCAUACAAUCAAGGGUCAGGGCUUGGGUGGAACAAGGAAGAAGGUGGUAACUUUGAAGCCCUUGCCAUUCUUGUGGGCAGGAAGUAUCAAGAAUGUUAUCCAAAAAUUCUCUCUGCUGAAUUUUGAAUUACCGUGACUUCAUGUGUGUGUCGUCUAUACUAUGCUCCUUGGGAUGCUCUGAAUCCAUUCAGGUGGUCAAGAUGAUAAGCUCAGCUGGUUAGGCUAUGGGGCUAAGGAAAUCAAGCUCACAGCUGCAGUCUCUAUAUGAGCACAGUUAACUCGGCACACAAAGUAAUCUGUCCAAGUCCUCAGAUUGCCUCACUAACCCCCACCAGCUGGCUUGAAAGUACGUGCCAUGCAGGGCCUGGAAUAUGGAUGGCUAAAUCACAGGCUCAUCCCCAGUCCUGGCGAAAUCCCCAUGGAGGAGGCCCUCCAGACGUUAGAAACUGCUUGUUAGAUUCUGGAACUGUUCAUUAAUCUGGCAGCACUUCACUUCAAGGCCUGGUGUUUAUCUUGAAGUAAUUUAUGAGCGACAGAGGAUUUUGCAUUGUUUUAAAAAUUGGAUGUUGAUAGUGUACCAGCCUACUUGAUAAAUGUCUGCUGGAAUGUAGAGUCCACUCAAUGGGACUUGAGGGAGGAGACCAUGGGCCAGCCAGUGGGGGCUUCAGAGGUUUAGUUAUUCAUUUAGAAACUUCUGCUGAGUGCUUUCCAUGAGCCAGGCACAGUUUACAUGCUGGGAAUUUAAGUUUUCGUUAUUUCCACCAAUGUUUUGUUGCCUGUUCCAUGCUAGGCAUUGUGCUGGACCCUAAAGCCUCAGCGGAGAAUGAGGCACGCUCAUGUCUUCAAGGAGACCUGAGCAUGGGGCAGGUCAUAUUUAUUUUGUGCGAUGGACUUUUUUGGCAGCCUGUUGAAACCUGUGGAAGCCUUCUCAGAACAAUUUCAGAGGCAUACAGUAAAGCACAUGAGAUUAUAAAGGAAGCCAGUGGUAAUACAGUACAGUUGUCAAAACAUUAAACAAAUACAUCAGUGCUAAGUGCUAACUAUUGAACAUGUAAACCAUGGUUCAUGGCUGUUCAUUGCCUCCUUCUGAAGGAUACUGCCACAAUCUCAGCUCCUGCUGCUGGGGUGGUCCUCGCCUCGUGUCUCUAUACACCCAGACACAGCUGAGUAAAGACAGGGAAGCACUAACCUGAUGCUACUGUUCCUAAGCAACGGAGAUGCUAUCACCAGUCAGAAAGAGCUGCCUCAUCAGAGCAUCACUCUGAGGCAGUGUAGUUGGAAAGCAGAAAAAAUUUUGGCACUGGAAGGGAACUGAAGAUGAAGAAAUACGGAAAGUGGACCCACGUAGAGCUGCAAGUCAUGAUGUGUCUGAGCAAAGUAAGGCUACAAGGAAGCUAAACCAGUGAACAGGCAGAAGCUACUGAAACAGGCAGAAGCAAGUGAUUCAGUGACUUGUAGUGGGAGAGAGGUAGACUAACAUGAAGAGAAGCAGAAAAACAGAAUAGCAAGGUGGCAGAGUGGUGAAGGGCAGAGCCUUAGAGAAUUCAGAAAUCUUUCUUCUGAAAUCCCUUGAAUUGCUUUGGAUUCAGAAGAAUCAUUUAUUUAUUUAUUUUAUUUUUGAGAUGGGGUCUUGCUCUGUUGCCCAAGCUGGAGUGCACUGGUGCUAUCAUGGCUAUGCAGCCUCCACUUUUUAGGCUCAAGAGAUCCUCCCACCUCUGCCUCCUGAGUAGCUGGAACACAGUUGUACACCACCACACCUGGCUAAUUUAAUUGUUUUUUUAUAGAGAUAAGAGUCUCCCUAUGUUGCUCAGGCUAGUCUCAAACUCCUGGGCUCAAGGGGUCCUCCUGCCUCAGCCUCCGAAAGUGUUGGGAUUACAGGCAUGAGCCACCAAGAACAACCAAUUCAGUUUUUCCUAGGGAGCCUGGUCGUUUGUGUGUGUGUGUGUGUUUUUUUUUUUGAAUUGCACUGAAGACUAGUUUCCUGGCUGACAUUCCCAUUUCCUUUAUUACCAUGCAGAUUCUUAUAAUAAUCUUUCAUUUCCUGAGGCAACUAGAGUGGAUCUCUGUUUCUUGUGAUCAAAAGAGUCAAAUCCAAACAUGGCAGGGUAGGGGUGAGGACAGUGAGGCCAUCCUACUCCACCUCCAGCAGCGGGUGUGGACAGGGACUGCUUCCCAGCUCCCUUCUAAAUUGAUUUUGGAUUUGUUAGAAGUUACCCAGUUAGUUCAAAAUUUUGGCAAAAUAUGUCAUGGUUUAUUAAAAUACUGCUUCUUUUUCAUGUUGUUGACAUUUUAAUUUCAUUACACUGUGGUAUUUAGGGUAAAAGCUUUAUUUGGUAUUUUAGGAGAAGGGUAUGGUGAAAGAGAAAAGUCGUAUCUUUAAAAAAUUCAGGGUAAUUAAAAGUGAUAUUGAAGUGGCCCUGCUGUCUGGGGUAAAUUUGCAAGGUUCAUUGCCUCAUGCCAAGGAAUUCAAGGACACCGACACGUGGAGUGAGGUUAAGAGCGGAGGUUUAAUAGACAAAAGAAAGAGAAAGGAGAACAGCUUUUUCUCCUGGGAAAGAAAGAGGCACCCCAGUGGGACUUCCAGCCCAUGGCAGAUUACACAGGGUUUUAUAGACAGGCUUGAGGAGGUAGUGUCUGACUUACAUAGGGCCCAAAGAUUGGCUGGACUAGACGUGACGUUUAUGUAGCCCAGGGUCAGGGUAGGAGGGUUGGGGGAAGUGUUGAAGCUAGCCACCCCGCCAAAAUCUGAUUAUGCUAAUGGAGUCUUUGCCUGGCCUGGGCCAUGCUGUCUACUCCUGACUGUACAUGUAGUUGGCAAAGAGAAGGGAAGAUGGAGCCACCAUGUUGGACAUGUCUGUCUCCAUGUAGCUCCUUUCCUGUUGGCACAACUGCCAGAAUUCACUGGUACGAGCUUCUAGCCUGCCUUUCUAUGUCUGCAGCUCGAUUUUAGAGGCUGCUGUUUCUUAGAAAAGAAAAUGAUUUGGGGGCUGCCUUUCAUUAAAAGGAAAACCUUACCAAGGACUCUUGUAUCCUCACUAUCUGCCUAAAUAAUUUCUUUUUAACUCCUAUAUAAACAUUUAAUAAUGAAAUCUUAUUCACGCCUUGUUCAUCUGGUAAUGGAUAAUAAGAUAAGAAGAGCCGAUAAUGACAUCUAAAAUGUUGCAUAUGGAUCACUUAGACUAGAAAGUAUUGCCCAUCCUAUGUAUGAAGGAAGAGGGUAUUAGAAGCAGCAGGGACUCAUUUAUUUAUCUAUUGAGUAGCUACUAUGUUUUCAGGCAAAAGCCAGACAGAUAUUCCCCCAAGGAGCUUACAUUAAUAAACAGGCAGUACAUUUUUUAAAAAGCUAAUAGAUGAGAUGUGCUAAGAAAGCUAUAAAGAGGGAUAUAGGAGAAGAGCAUAGGAGGAAGAGGAAGAGCCAUAUGAGUGAGCCAGGUGGUGAGUACCAUUGGCUUAAUAGCAAUUUAUGGAAUGCUCGCAAUGGACCAGGCUCUGUGCCAGUGCCAGCAAUACAGCAGCGGACAAAAUAGGCAAAAAUCUUUGUCUUCAUGGUGGUUAUCCUCUAGAGUGAACCAGGUCCUAUUGUGCCUGUAAAUCAUAACGAAGGGUUGGGACUUUUGUCUGAAGGUGAUAGGGUGCCUUUGAAGUGCUCAAAGCUGGGAAGUGACACAAUCAGAUUUGCAUUUUAGAAAUACCAGCUUUGAGGUCAGUGCGGAGAUGGCUGGGACAGGGUGGUCUAGAAGCAAGGAGACUGCUCAGAAGCAGGUGAAAGAAAGAAGAUGCUGUUCAUUAUGUAGACAGUAAAUUAGGCUGGAAGUGAAAACAGUCAUUCUGGAGAUACUAAGAAAGUACAGUGGACAAGGUCAGAUCAUGGACAGGCAAAAUAUCUAGACGGAUACAGAAGUAUACUGUCAGGUGUCUGACUUCAAAUACUGGGUGGAUAUUGUUGCCAUAUGUUUUGUUGGCAUUGCAGGCGGAAGAACAAAUUUUUGGAGAAAAAUUAAAUUGUAUCAUUCUUUUCCUUGAUGCAGUUUAUUCUUUAUUGAGGAGACAAAUGAGCAAAUAAAACCAUUUCGUCAGCCAAUGUACUAGUCAGGGUAAGUUAAAUUUUGCUGUGCAAAUAACCAACCAUCAGAAUAGCAGCUUAACACAACAAAGAUUUAUUUUUCUCUUAUGCUACAUAUCUAAAGCAGACAGGGUUGAGUGGGGGUCUCUUUCACCUUGUAGUCACUGGACCAAAGCCUAUUAAUAUAUGUUCCAUCUUGACACACACAUCCACUGAGACAUAGUUAAAAAAAGAAAGAGAAGUAGCGAAUUGCACACUAGCUCUGAAAUCUUCUGUCUGGAAAUGGUUUGAAUCACUUCUGCUCACAUUUCAUUGGCCAAAGCAAGUCAUAAGGUUAUACCUAAUUUCUAAAGAGUGAGGAAGUGCUGUCAUUCUGUGUACUGAAAGGAGGAAGACUGUUUGUUCUUGUUAUUGCAGUCUAUUACUGGUGCACAAUUUCAGUUUGUCCUUCAUUUACAAUAGUCAUUUUGAUAGCUUGGUUAAAGUGGUAUCUGCUAGACUUCCUCACUGUAAGGUUAUGUUCCCCUUUGUAAUAAUAAAUACAUUGUAUAGAGUUACUUUGAAACCAUGUAAACUUACCAUUUCUUAUCAAACUUUUAAUUAAUAUGUGAAGAGACUCAUGAUUUCUGUUUAAUUAAUACCCAAACAGACUCAUGGCUAUAAUUUCUAGUCUACUAAGUGAUCCAUACGCAACCUCAGAUUUUAAAGGUCAUGGUUGCCAUUGAAUACUCGUGGUAUUUUCAUAGUUUCCAUUGAGUAUUCAUAUUCAAUGCUCAUAUUCAGUGGAAUACCAUGAAAAUAUGGAAUACCAUGGAAAUACUCAGUUUCCAUUGAGUAUUCAAUGGAAUACCCUCAAAAUACGGAAUACUAUGAGUAUUCAUUGGAUUAUUAUUGUCAUUAUUUAUUGAUGCUCAAAUUGUCCCAGACUUGAUUUAGUCAGUGGGAGCCUUUCUGUCUGGCUUCUAUGUCUUUUGGUCCUGGCCCUCUAUUCUUUGAGUACUUCCUUGCUCUAGAAUGAGCUUAUACUUUUCUUGCUCCAGCUCUGGCUUGGGUCCAGCCCUUUCUCCAAGCAGCCCUGAUUGUUUAAGGUGGAGAAUGGUAUUAGAAGAGAAGAUUGGCUUGCUUGGUGUGCUGCUUGCUAUUGGGGUUAUGCUGCUCCCAUGCCCUUUCAGGGGACAGAGCUAUAGGAUAGAUGCAUGUAUGGACACAUACACAGACAUUCAGAUUUACAUCUAUACUUGUAUCUACCUUUAUGUUUUGUGUAUAUUUCAAACCAUAAACUCACAUUGAUGCCUCAUAUUCCAAUUCAAAACCACAGAGUAUAUUUUGAUUUUUUCUCUCUCUCACUCUUUCUCUUUUUUUUCCUAUUUACAAAUCCUUUCUUUUCCAUUGAGACCGUUGGUCCUCAUAUUCUAACUUGUUUCAUAAGCCUCCCCUUUACUCCCUUACCCUGUGUAACUAAACUCUCACGGUUGCUGCUGUCCCCUCUUUCGCAUCAGAGCCCUCCUCCCACACUGGCUUCUCCCCUCAGGUAGGUACUCUCCUCAUUCUUCCUGGACUCUGACAUCCCAGACCAGGCCCCCUCUCUUAUCUGCACCUUCCCAUUCUGAUGUCCCCUUAGGUAGAAGCUCCUCACUUUUCUUGGGCUCUGUAUCCUACUAGGUAUCUGUUUGCAGUCCAUUUCUACAGGGAAUGUGUAAACCUGAGGAUGGGUUGCUGCCAAAUGAGAGUUAGAAACUUAAGUUUUCUGAUUCCCAGUUUUUUUCUCUCUCUCAGUUUCCUGGCAUCAAUACCAAUUAAUGGAAUCCAUAGAGGCUUGCUGUGGUUCUCUUUCUCAGUUUUAGUCCCCAAACGGAUUUAUUUUGGAAAGCAAAUAUAAGUCCAUUUACUCAUUUCAGAGUUAUCUAAAAGUGAAAAAUGCUAUUAUUUCAGCAGUUCAGAAAUUCUUUAAAUGCUUUUUUGCCUUUGAAUUUCUCAAAAGCAACUUUGUUUGGAAAUUUUAAACUUGGCAUUGCUGGUACCUAACCCUGAGUGAGGAAUGUGUGCUUUGCCUUGUCUGAAGAAAUUUGGUUUUGAAAUAACAAAGUUAUGGAUGUUUAAAAAUAUUGCAUGGAACAGACACUGUGGGUUAUUUUCCUCUGGCUUUGAAACAUACUGUAUAUUGUGAAGCUGGUAACUUUCAUGGGUGGAGGAGUUUAAUAGCAUAUACUUAACUGAUGCAAAUAUGAGAUCAUUUUAUAAGCCACAUGGGGAUCUAGUUGAGGCAUCUUUUCAAUUUUUACUCAGUAAAUUCACUUGAUCUCUGAAUAACUUAGAAUCCUGGGGCAUAGUGCCUGUGUACAUAUCACAUGCUCAGUAAUUGUUGAGCUGAUGUGAAUUGAACAUGCUUGUUCUCAUUUGGCUACACAUUUCGCCUCCAGCUCCAAGUGGCUAACUAUGGUCUGGGAGAGAGGUUGACAAAUUACAGUCCAUGGGCCAAAUCCAGCCUGCCACUGUUUUUUUUUUUUUUUUUUUUUAAAUGGCCUGCAGGCUGAGAAUGGUUUUCACAUUUUUAAGUUGUUGAAUAAAAAUGAAAAGAAGACUAACAUACUAUGAUGUAUGAAAAUUAUGUGAAAUUCAAAUUUCAGCAUCCAUAAAAGAUGUUUUGUCAGAACACAGCCAUGCUCAUUCAUUUAUGUAUUAUCUAAGACUGCUUUCAUACUACAACAGCAGAGAAGAGUAGUUAUAACAGAGACUGAAUGACCUGUCAAGCUUCAAGUAUUUACUAUCUGGCCCUUUACAGAAAGAGUUUGCUGACCCAUAAUCUAAGAGACAGAACAAACAUUUUCAGUUCCUUUUUAAGAUUUCCUGCUAUAAAAUUUAAGGAAGAGCCUUUUUGGGGGGGGGGGUGAGGGGAGCUUAGUAGAUUUACUGUAUUGUGCAACAUGUGCAAUUUUCUACUGUAUUCAUUGUGUACUAUAUACACUAGCACUAAUAACAGAUCAUUUCUAUAAUCCUAAAAAGAAAUGCAAUACGUAUUAACAGUCAGUCCCAGUGCUCUCUUCCUUCAUAUUCUCUAAUCUACUUCCUGUCUAUAUGAAUUCACCUACUCUAGAUUCAUAUAAAUAUAUAUACAAUAUAAUUAUUUCAUAUAAAAAUUUCAUUAAAAUGUUCAUACAGGCCGGGCGCUGUGGCUUAAGCCUGUAAUCCCAGCACUUUGGGAGGCCGAGGUGGGUGGAUCACAAGGUCAAGAGAUUGAGACUAUCCUGGUCAACAUGGUGAAACCCCGUCUCUACUAAAAAUACAAAAAAAUUAGCUGGGCAUGGUGGCGGGUGCCUGUAAUCCCAGCUACUCAGGAGGCUGAGGCAGGAGAAUUGCCUGAACCCAGGAGGCGGAGGUUGUGGUGAGCAGAGAUCGCGCCAUUGCACUCCAGCCUGGGUAACAAGAGCAAAACUCCGCCUAAAAAAAAAAAAUGUUCAUACGGUAUGUAGACUUUUGUGUCUAGUUUUUUUCAAAGUUCAUCCAUGUUCUCAUAUAUAGUAGUACUUCAUUCCUUUUUUACAAGGCUUUUUUUUUUUACUUUCUGCUUUCAUACUUCUGGCCUGCCUCCUCUUUGACAUUUGCUUGAAUUCCAACCUAAUACCAGUAACAGAAAAUAUUGUGGUAAGAACAGAAGUGUAAAGUGUGAAUUCAAAUAUAAAUCAUUUUUUAAAAUUCUUUCCAUUUUGUUAAUUAUACUAUUUCAACAUUAAAUGACUAAUAAGCAUAUUAUAAGUGGAGAAUUUUGGAUGAUAACAUCUGUUUUAUACAUCUCCAGGUUUAUGUCUAAUUGGUGCAUUUGUUUUUCUUUCUCAAGAUCUUUAUAAGCUCCAGAAAGAUAGCUUCUUUUGGAUUUCAUAUGCAUAGUGUAUUAGUUCAUUCUCAUGCUGCUAUGAAGAAAUACCUGAGACUGGGUAAUUUUUAAAGGAAAGUGGUUUAAUUGGCUCACAGUUCUGCAGGGCUGGGGAGACCUUAGGAAACUUACAAUCAUGGCUGAAGGUAAAGCAAACAUAUCCUUCUUCAGAUGGUGGCAGCAAAGAGAAGUGAGGAACUAAAGGGGGAAAAGCACCUUAUAAAACCAUCAGAUCUCAUGAGUACUCACUCACUAUCAAGAGAACAGCAUGAGGAUAACUGCCCCCAUGAUUAAAUUAUCUCCCACCAUGUCCCUCCCAUGACAUGUGGGGAUUGUGGGAACUACAAUUCAAGGUGGGAUUUGACACAGAGCGAAACCAUAUCGCAUAGUGUAGGGCACAGGACUUAGAAUCACAAGUGUCUGAUGGUACUCUUUCUGCAUCUGCAUCCCUGAGCGUUAUUGGACAUAUUCAUACAUUUGUAAUAAUGACAAAUCUCAAUUGGAUACUCCACCCUGCCUGAUUAUCCUGCAGACAUCUCUAGUAAGUUCACUUUCUCAUUCUCAUCCUGAGUUGGUUGCCUCAUCCCACACUUCACAGAGAACAUGGAAAGAGCAGGAUGAGAGGUCCAUAAUUAUGCCUUGUGUACCUGCAUGUGUAUCUAGAUGAUGAUACAGAUCAUCACCUAACAAUGGGUCUCUUCACCAAAGGUAAUAUUCCUUUUAUUUCUCUCCUGGAUCACAUUGCUCCUUGCCUUCUAAAGGACUUGGCUCCUCAUUUACCAUUUCCUUGUUUUCACUACCAGUUUUCCUCCUCUUCUGCAUCAUUCCAAUCAGCAUGAGCUAGUUUUAAUAAGAUCCGUGUUUUAAAUGCCUGCUCUUCCCAAGCACUUUUCUUUAAUUACUGCCUCAUGUCUUUGCUGCUUUUAAGAGACCUGCUAAAACUGUUGUCUGUGUACUUGUUAUCUUCACUUUCUCAUGUCCUAUUCUAUUCUCCAUCUAUUCUAAACAGAUUCUGUUUACCACCACUCAUGACACUUGUUAAGGUCCCUCGAGACUCCAUUUGACCAAAUCUAUCUGAUUACGUUUUUUCCUUACUUUGCCUACCAAUCACACACACUGCAUUUUUCACUUUACUUUUAAAACACUUUCUUCUCUGGUAUUCUUGGAUACCACACUCGUCCAGUUUUCUUCUGACAUCAUUGCUGACUUUUUCUUCUUUGACAAGUCUUUGCAAGGAUUGAACAUCCCAGUCAGAAAAUAAAAAAUCUGAAAUGCUUUAAAAUGUGAAAUUUUUGAGCACGGAUAUGAUGCUCAAAGGAAAUGCUCAUUGGAGUAUUUUGGAUAUAAUGCAUAUAUUCUCAAAUCCCCUGAAAAUUGAAAUCCAAAAUACUUCUAGUCCCAAACAUUUUGUAUAUGGGAUACUCAACUUCUACCUGGUCUCUGCUUUCUCCACAAUAGGUGCAACAGUACUUGGCAUAGAGUUGGUCUUGAAGAUGACUUAUGGAAUGAAUGAGCUCACCAACCUUGUUCCCAUGUUAACAUCUUUGUAUUUGCGGCUUCGCUUGGAAGACUUCCCCACCAAGCCUCUACUUGGCUUCCUCAUUGUCAUUGUUCAGCUUUCAAUUUGAGUCACUUUGGAGCAGGCUAUCCCUGCUAGCCUUCUGCUUCCCAUUCCCACCCCCGUGACUGUCUAGGACGGAAGUGGGCAAACCUUUUCUUUACAAAAUCGGAUAGUAAAUAUUUAUGGCUUCUCAGUCCAUCCAGCAUUUGUCAGGACAACCUAACUUUGUCAUUGUAGUGUGAAAGCAGCUGUUGAUACUUCCUAAAUGGGAAGCUGAGACCUGUGUGAACUAUAGCAAUCCAUUCCCUUGUUUGAUGAGGUUGGGCCAACUGGGAGCCCUGGCAAGAAAGCAAGCUGCUCCCUACUGCUCACAUUACUUGAGCUCCACCUCCUAUCAGAUCAGUGGUGGCAGGAGACUGAGACCAUCCUGGUCAACAUGGUGAAACCCCGUCUCUACUAAAAAGACAAAAAAUUAGCUGGGCAUGGUGGCGCAUGCCUGUAAUCCCAGCUACACAGGAGGCUUAGGCAGAAGAAUUGCCUGAACCAAGGAGGCACAGGUUGUGGUGAGCCGAGAUCACGCCGUUGCACUCCACCCUGGGUAACGAGCAAAACUCCAUCUCAAAAAAAAAAAAAAAAGAUUCUUAGAGGAGCACGAACCCUAUUGGGAACUGUACAUGCAAGGGAUCUAAGUUGCAUGCUCCUUAUGAUAAUCUAAUGCCUGAUGAUCUGUCAGUGUCUUCCAUCACCCCCUGAUUGGACUGUCUAGUUGCAGGAAAACAAGCUCAGGGCUCCCACUCAUUCUACAUUAUGGUGAGUUGUAUAAUUAUUUCAUUAUAUAUUACAAUGUAAUAAUAAUAGAAAUAAAAUGCAUAAUAAGCAUAAUGUACUUGAAUCAUAUUGAAACCAUUCCCCACCCCACUUCCCUGGUUUAUGUAAAAAUUAUCUUCCACAAAACUAGUCCCUGGUUUCAAAAAGCUUGGGAACUGCUGGUUUAGGAGACCAUUUGAGUAUUGGAGGCAACAAGUUAUAUAUGUUCAUCAAAAGUUGGAUUCAACCCCUUCCUUCUAUUUCCCAUAUAUUUUUUUCAUUAUAAACCCUACUGUCUUCUCCUGACUUUUCAGUUCUGGUUAUUUUUGAUUGAAACCAAUUGUAAAUGCUCUUGAUAGCAGUUUUUAGAUUUCAUCGAACAAAAAUAUUUAAGAAAACAAUUUUUUUCUAAAAUCUUAUGAAGAGAUAUUUUUUUUUUACUAGUUAGCUGUUGUGCUAUAUGUAGUCCCAAAACUUCCAACAGGUAGCACCUACUGAUCAGAAGCUUUCUUCAACAAGGUGGUAGAAAUUUGAGCAUGCUUUUAUCCCCUUUGGUAUAAAUGUCUAAGUUGUAGGGAUUCCAUUUUCAAGGGAAGCUGGUCAGCGGAUACAAGGAAAAGUCAGUACUGUAAAAAUUAAUAUUCGGCACUUGUAUUGAACUUUUGGUAUUACAGCACAUUAAAAAAUUGUAGUAAAAUACACAUAACAUAUAAAAUUUAUCUUAAUUUUUUUUUUUCACAUCCUGCUCACCAUCCACUCUGGCCCAGGACCCCAUAGCAUAUGCGUCCUUCUCCAUCACCCCAGUUUAACCAUUUUUAAGUGUACAGUUUAGUGGCAAUAAGAACAUUGUUUAAGGUUGUACAACCAUCACUACUAUCUAUUUCCAGAACUUGGUCAUCAUCUCAGAAACUCUACCCAUUAAACAAAACUCAGUACUCCCUAUUCUACUUUCCGUCUCUGUGAAUGUGCCGAUUUCGGGGUACCUCACGUAGGUGGAAUUAUACAGUAUUUGUCCUUUGAUUUCUGGUUUACUUCAUUUGGCAUGAUGUUUUCAAGGUUGAUAUUGUCGUAUGUGCUAGAAUUUUAUUUCUUUUUCACAUGGAAUCAUAUUCUAUUGCAUGUAUAUACCACAUUUGUCCAUUCAUCUGUUGAUAGAAAUUUGGGUUGUUUUCACCUUUUGGCUAUUAAAUAUAAUGCUGAGCUGAAUAUUGGUGUACAUGUCUGUCUGAGUUCCUGCUUUUAAUUCCUUUGGGCAUAUACCCAGGAUCAAAGCAUUUUGCAUAGAUCACCUUUUUUCGGUUCUGUGUGGUAGCUGGGUCAGAUGCUAUUAUUUCUAUUUUGCAGACAUGCAAAUGGAGGGGGAUUUAUUAAGUGACUUGCCCAAGGUCAUUCUAGACAUUUAAAAAUAGAAUUGGAAGGAGAAUUAGCACAUCCUAAUUCAUCCACUGCCUUUUCCACUAUACCUUGCUACCAUCCCAUUGAGCUAAUUUGUUGCAGAGGCUGAAUUAAAAAAAAAAUGUGGCUUGUUGAGUAUGGUAGCUUCUGUGAAUUUCUAAGGAGUCCCGUCUCACAUCCUAGUGAUAAACCAUCCUAUCUAGUUGCACAUUGCUCUGCAUUCUGUGUAUCAAGCCCAUGCCAAGAGCUUUAGUUUUUGUUUCUUUUUAGCUACGCCUGAAAAUGUUUCAAGAUGCUGUUUACACCAUAAAAACUUGCAAGAAAACUUCUCUUAACCGACAUGCAUCACUGCUGAGCUGCCAGAAGCACAGCCACUGUCUUCAUCAUCUGAAAACAACUAGUCAGUUCACUCAGUUCAGAGCAUGCACCGCUCAAAAGUUGUUCUAGAAGGUUGUAGAUCAAAUAAAUGUUAGUGAACUACUUUUGUGUUCACAUAUUAUCUAAAACCUCUGGUGACAUCUCUUGGAAAUGUGAUGAAAAGAUAUUUGGUGAUUUGCAGAGUGAUGAAGACUCACUGUCUGUACAGUCUGGCCUUGUGUGAGUACCAUUUUCAUUUUACAUUUGUUUUGGUUGCAUGAUAAAAAAUUCUUAACAGUUUUGGUUAAGCAUUCCAUUAAUGUAAUGCUCAUAUGGAGAUGAGAGUUCCAUAUUAUGGAACUGGAGAUUUUUAAAUGCUUUUUUCUCUUUGUUUUUGCAGGGACUGUACAUUCUGGGGUUCAGGUCUUGAGCAAGGGUCCUGUUUAUUCAAAGAGAAUUCUCUCUUCAUCUCCCGUAGGAGUUUGGUUUUCAUGUAGGACUGAAUCAUGUUGGGAGCUAUCUUUCAAUUUCUGGCUACCACAGCCAGAAAACUGUGUUAGCUAAUUGCAUUUUUGUCUAACUACGAACCCAGAGACACUAUAAAAAGUUCAGAUCUGACACAUCAAGGGGAAAAAGAAUAAACAAGCGAGCUGUGAGCUUUCUACUGUGUGGGUACAGACUCACUAGGGUUCUCAGCAUCUUUUACGUACCGUGGCCACAGUUUGAAAGGUCUCCAAGUUUGACCCGAAGUUAGACUUUAGAAGUAUCACACCUCCCUCAAGAGCAUUGUCACUGAUCUAAGACACAGAUUGCAUUUCAACCGAGUUGUCUUUGCUAUGUGGCUAAAUCUGGAGCAGAGAGAGAGAGAUAAUCACUUUGCUCCUCCUCUGAGCAAGUCUUCCCCUUGUAAUGAUGAACUUUGUUCUGGGGAGUACAUUUCUCAACUUCACUCUCAUGCUUGGGUUGCUUGGCAGUUUUUCUGAUGCUUUGGGGCAAUCUGAAUCACACCUGAAGCUGAUGGGUUGCUGACAUAUGGAGCUUUAAUUAAACCAAGCUGAAAAGAGAGAGCAUCUGGAAAGCAGGGCUGGACCUUGGAAGGGCCUGGGUGGUGCCUUUUUGAUUAUGUUUUUUUUCAGAGACCAUGUUUAUCUUCUCUACCAAAAAAAGUUGGAAUAACAUGAAUAACCAGAUUGAACUUGGUCAAAAUGUUGUGUCAAGAGAGAUUUGUUUUCUUUUGUGAGCAUUAUAGGCAGUACUUGAAAGAGUUGAAGUGGGAUUUGGUCAUGGAAACAGUUGUUUGAAGGGCACGUUGCUGCUUUGUCUCAACAGAACAUCUCCCAAGGUUGAUUUUCAUUGGCCCUAAGGGAAAGUGGUGGAGGACCACUGAGACAAAAGUCAUCCAAAAGCUCAUACCAGAAGAAGAUUUUUCAAUUCAGAACUUGCUCCAGAUGACCAGUGUAAAGGUUUGGUGAGGCAAAAGGUACCUCCUUGCUCCUGAACAUGAGCUAUCUGUUUAUAAAAUGGAGUCUAUUGCCUUUGACUAUAUGAAACAUUAAUUGUAGCUUCUAUGUGGGUCAAAAUCAAAUUGUUACUAAAUUAUAAGAAGAAAGCAGUGCACAUUUCCAUUUAGGAAGUGCUUAUUCUGAUCUAGACUCUGCACUUGACCCUAGGGAUACAAGUAUUCAUUUAUUCAUUCAUUCACUCAUCCAGCAAAUACUUUCUGGAUGAAUGCUAUACGCCAGGCACCAUUUUGGGCACUGGAUAACACAGUGAACCCAACAAAGUCUCUCCUCUGGUAGAGUAUACAUUCUAGAGGGAGAGUCAGACAAUAAAAGGAAACAAAGAAAGCUAUACUAAGGCUUGAGGGAGUUGUUAGAGGUCUGAAGAAAAACAAAGUGAGGAUAACAUGCUGCCUACACCCUUGUUCAUUUUCUCAUUUACCCAACCAAUUUUUAUGGAGGCCCUACAUGUAUCAGGCAGGCACUGAAGAGCCAAUGAAGUCUCAGCUUGUCCUGAGUACUAUGAAGAAACCAAUGGGUUGAGAUUGACAAGAAGCAAUGGCUGGAUUGGAGGCCUGUGGGGGCCCAGAAGUAUGAAAAUAGUGGGUAAGGAAGGGGUUCUCUGAGGACCUGAAGUAUGAGAAGGAAGUGGCACUGAGAAUGGUUGAGUGUGUGUGUUGGUGGGUUUGGCACUAUAGGAGAGGCAAAGAAGAUUACUGUAGGUAGGAAGAGCAGUAUAUUCAAAGGUUCUGAAGCAGAAAAGCUUUGGUGAGGGUUGGUGAUAAAAACUAAAUUUGUUCAUGUUUUCAAAGACCUGGAUAAUGAGUGUGGCUCAAGAUAAGGUUGGGGCCAGAUCAUACAAGACUUCAAAGGCCAUAUUAAAAAUUUUGAAGUCGAUUCUAAGGAUAAUUGAAAGACACAAAAACAUUUUGAGAGAGAGUGGUAUGAUCUGAUGGGUAUUAAGAUCCCUUUUACCGCAACUCAGGGAAUAGAUUGGGGUGGGUAAAAGUAGAAGCUGGGAGAGCAGCAUGGAGGCUUUUUCAAUAAUCUGGGCAGGAGAAUUGGAGAAAGAAUUUACUGGUAACCUUGUGUGCAGUAAACACUUCUUUGACAGUCUUUCUCCUGUCCUUAAUAGGAUUAGUGAGAAUAUACCAACUGUUCCAGACUCCUGCCUCCGGGCCACUGAAUGUCUGGACUAAUUUGAAACCUGUGGAGUUUGAGGUAUCUGGAAAGACAGCUCCUAUUUUAAACUUAAUUGUAUUCAGGGUGUUUCCUAAGAAGUGUAAUUCCUUCUUUUGAUGAGACUCUGACAUUAACAACAGCAAUAAUAACCCAAGCCUAUAACUCCUUAGUAUGUCAAUCAGAAUUUGAGUUUAAAAACUAAGGAUCAUAUAAUUUUCUUUGGGAAAAUAUUACUCCUUAAUUUUUUUCUCUACCAUCAUUGUUGGAAAGAACAGAGAAAAUAAGAAAAGCCAUGCAAAUGAUUUCUGGAUCAAAUUUGACAUCUCAGUUGUGGUGGUAAAAGGUGAAUCUUAGAGACAAACAGAGCUGGGUUUAAAUAUCAGUCCCACUGCUCAACUGACUGUGUGACAUGUGGCAGACUCCUGAAGCUCUGGAGUGUGUGUUUCUUCAGAAAGUGAGGUGAUACGGCCAAAAUGAUUGGUACAGCAUCCAUAUUCAUGAUAUGCCAGUUUCUGUUGCUGCUGUGGUUUGAAUGGCUCCCCCGCAAAAGCAUGUGCUUUUAACUUAAUUCUCAGUACAACAGAGUUCAUAGAUGGGAUCUUGGAGAGGUAAUUAGGCCAUGAAGACUUUGCCUUCAUGAAUAGAUUAAUGCCAAUUAUAAAAUGGCUUGAGGAAGUGAGUUUGAUCUCUUUUUCCCCGUCUUUGCCCUUCUGCCACGGGAUGACACAGCAAGAAGGCCCCCAUUAGAUGCCAGCCACUUGAUUUUGGACUUCCAAGCCUCCAGAAUUAUGAGCCAAUGAAUUUCUGUUCAUUGUAAAUUAUGUGGCUGCGCCAGGCAUGGUAGCUCAUGCCUUUAAUCCUAGCACUUUGGGAGGCUGAGGCAGGCCGAUCACUUGGGCCCAAGAGUUCGAGAGCAGUCUGAGUGACAUGGCAAAAUCUUAUCUCUAUAAAAUACAAAAUUAGCCAGAAGGGUGGCACAUGCAUGUGGUCUCAGAUAUUCAGGAGGCUAAUUGGGAAGGAUUGCUUUACCAGGGAAGCUGAGGCUGGAGUGUACUAUGAUUGCGCCACUGCACUCUAGCCUGGGUGGCAGAGCAAGAUCUUUUCUCAGUAACUAACUGACUAACUAACUAACAACUGACUAACUAACCUGGCUGGUGAGUUGGCUCAUGUCUGUAAUCUCAGUACUUUGGGAGGCUUAGGCGGGAGGAUCACUUUAGUCCAGGAGUUCAUGUCCAGCCAGGGCAACCUCAUGAGACCCUGCCUCUACAGAAAAUUAAAAAAUUAGCCAGGUAACGUGAUGCAAGCCUGUAAUUCCAGCUAUGGAGGAGGCUGAGGUGGGAGGAUCACUUGAGCUUGGAGAUUGAGGCUACAGUGAGCCAUGAUUAUACCACUGCACUUCAGCCUUGGUGUUGGAGCAAGACCCUGUCUCUAAAUAAAUAAAUAAAAAAUAAUCCAGUCUGUUAUAUUCUGUUAUAGCACACAACAGGACCAAACUGACUAAGACACUUGUUUUUCUUCCUGCCUUCCUCUUCCCUCUUCUAAAGGGCAUCUAACUUUUCUUGGCUGCAACACAGCCUAAAGAUGUUCAGCUAAGUUUUCUUUCAUCAUCACAUAAACAUGAAGAGGCCAAAGUAAACCUUCUUUCCCCUCCUUUUCUCUUCUCUUCUCCUCCGCUCUGCUCUUCCUCUUUCUUUUUAUUUGCAGGAAUAUUACAGGUUAGCAAUUACAUUCUGACCAUAAAACUUGGUGUCUGGCACUAACUCAUUUAAUUUUCACAAAAGCCCCAGAGGAAGGUGCUAACAUGAUCUCAAUUUUGUAGAUGAAGAAAUUGUGGCUUGCAGAGGUUUAAUUGCUUACCUAAUUUCACACAACCUGUAAGUGGUGGCAUGGAAUUUGAAUCCAGGCAGUCUGACUUCGAGAUUUGUUUGUGCGUUUCUUAGCUUUCUCUGUCCCUUUAGACAUCUUUACUGGAUGUGGAAAGUGAGGACAUUGGUACUGUUGAUGUUGGUGGAGAGCUGGGGAGUUCUGCUGGGAAGUAAGGAGGAUUUGGUGUUUAUGAGUGCCUGUAUCUAUGUGGCUUAUUUAUGAAAAAUGGUUUCUCCCCCUUUAUUGUCCACCAUCUGUGUCACACCUGGAGGCACUCAGUAGUUUUUAGAAAUAUGGAUGAUUCAUACAACUAUUUUCUUAUAAUGUCUAACCUCCCAGAGGAGGGACUGGAGGGGAAAGUUCAUUUACAAAGAUCAGCUAUGCUCGUAAAGGUAUCUUAAUUUGGUGAGCUGGAGAAAGCCAGGCUGCUAAUUGAUUAGCUUGUUUCUUGACCUGCUAAUUGAGGCUUGGUCUUUAUUCACAUGGCUCCUAGGCAGUUUUGGCUUCAGUUGUGUGUCCUGAUCUAAGCUUGCCAAAAUCAGAUGCUAUGGGGUGUAGAGUUAACAAGCUGGCAGAGCAUCUGGAGAUGUAAUGUCCAUGCCGUUAUGGAAAAAUGAGGAACUUCCCUUCCAAUUAGAGAUGAUUGUUCUGUUGUUACAAGCUUGUUCUCUUAACUACCUCUACUGUUACAAUUCUAAAAUAUAAGACAAUUUCUUGUUCAAUAAGGGAACACUGUGUAUGUUUAAGUGUUAUUUAUAUUACAAACUAAUACUCUCAAGUAAGUGCUUUGCAGUCACAAGUUGACUCGGUUAAAAUAGUCCAUCUAGGACUAGGUUGAACAACAGGGAAAGUUUCUGUGGAUCUUAACCACCCUUUUUGGAGAGUUAAGAUAUGCAAUACAGUUUGUAGAGAGGGAAGCAGGGUCAAUUAAAGGAUUUCUGACAGGGCAUCAACCUUUGUUGAGCUCCUUGGGUCUCUUGUGCACUCUAAUUAGGAGUAAGCUAUGCUCUGUGUUCUUGGUAUCUUCCUCUGAGUCCUCAGUCUGCUGGGAGGUCAGCUGCCUCACUCAGUGCUUUAUAGACAUGGGCCAAUCAUAAGGCAGAAAGGAGGCUGGGUGCAGUGGCUCACAUCUGUAAUCCCAGCACUUUGGGAGGCUGAGUCUGGCAGAUCACUUGAGGUCAGGAGUUCGAGACAAGCCUGGCCAACAUAACGAAACCCCAUCACUAACAGUACAAAAAUUAGCAGCAUGUUGUGGCACAUGCCUGUAAUUUCAGCUACUUGGGAGGUUGAGGCACGAGAGUCACUUGAACCUGGGAGGCAGACACUGCUGUGAGCUGGGAUCAUGGCACUGUAUUACAGCUUGGGCAACAGUGUGAGACUCUGCCUAAAAAAAAAAGAAAGCAGUAAAGAUUUGUUUUCCAUUUUCAAAGUAAUGCUUCCAUAGUACAAGAAGAGAAAAGAGCCACUUAAACCUUCUGAAAUAAUAAGAAACCAUGAAGGUUUUUUUGUUCAAAAAAUAAUAUCUUUCUUUGAGGUCUGACAUGAAAAUAUCUUUAAAGCAUAGAGUACAGAGCCUAGUCCUCAAUAAAUGGUUAUGACCAUUUAAUUCAUAUUUUAGUGCAUUUUUGGAUGGUAACCUGUUUGUCUUCCCCCACUUUUCUUCCAACCCACCCCCACUUCCUUCCUUCUGUCCUUCCUACUUUCCAACAUACAAACUGUGGUCUAUAUACAACUUGGUAACCAACUUAUCAUAUGUUAUUUUGUCUAUUUAAACUGAGUAAUCAUUAUUAAGAAAGCAGGGCCCCACACCCCAUUCACUUUUUUUUUUUUUUUACAAUGACUACUUAUCAUUGUGUUCCUCUGUGUGGAGUCAGGAAUGGAACUGGAUCUGGCAUCCCACCUGCCCUCUGUCCUUAUCUCCCAUCCUCAUUUCCUCCUGGCUUUCCAAAUGGCCAACAACUGGAAGCAGCCAAGUCCAGGAAACACACUAAUACCAAUUUCAAAAGAUGUAUUUGACUGGGAAGCACUUGCAUAAGCAGACUAUUCUUAAAGUUAAACAAAAUGAAGCUGGCCAAUAUGUGGUUGAGUAAUAAAAAUGUUGUCAAAAUUGGACUUACCCAUUUGUUCCCUAGUCUUCAUUUCCACUCCAGCUCUCUUCUUAUUUGAUUAAGCAUUUGAGUCACAAUUUGAAAUUUGGGAUCUUCUUGCUCAGAAUCAUUUUGCCUAUGGAAUCAAUGAGUUAGAAAUCAGGUUGGGGUGAAAUGAUUUUUUAUUUUUUUCCCAACACUGUGAUUCUGUGAAUUUUAUGAACAGGAGGGGGAAAACAAUGCCAUCAAAUAGCAUUUACUUUUGAAAUUUUCCUGAGAGCUGCGCAACUUGAAGUCUAUUUAUUCAAUUCCGCUGAAAGUUGUGUAGUCUUUAAACACGUGUCAAGGCGGCCAGGCUUAAUGCCUGUAUAUUUUACUAAGAGGUUGGUGGGCUUAUUUGAUUUAGCUCAUGUGAGAAGUUUAAUUGUUUUCUUCUUCUUUCUUUACUGGCAGUGACUAUAUCUGGUAGAAUAAAGCUUUGUCAGCCACCCCCUUUCAUUCUUUAUACGCGAGAGGUAGGAACUAUGGAUGGCUGGUGUUUUCUUGAGGUUCCCAAUAGACCAUGUGUUUCACAUCAAGUGAGCUAAUACCUUUCCAGCUGAAAACCUUUCAACGGCCUUAAGUUUCCAGACCAGACUUUACCUCUGGCUCCAAACAGAUCUGGUCUUCAUGUUGGUUCACCCUUAAUAUUGGCACAAUAGAUGCUGACUCAUGGGAGUAAGUCCUGAGACCUGUUUGGGAUUAUGCCUCAAGUCUUAUGCCCAUUAUUUCCCCAGCCCAAGUCUUGCCAUCCUGUUAAGGGAGGCUCUUUUUUUUUUUUUUUUUUUUGAGAUGGAGUUUCGCUCUUGUUAUCCAGGCUGGAGUGCAAUGGCGGGAUCUCGGCUCACUGCAACCUCCGCCUCCUGGGUUCAAGUGAUUCUUCUGCCUCCCGAGUAGCUGGGACUACAGGCGUGCGCCACCAUGCCCAGCUAAUUUUUUUGUAUUUUUAGUAGAGACGGGGUUUCAUCUUGUUGACCAGGAUGUUCUCGAUCUCUUGAUCUUGUGAUUCACCCGCCUCAGCCUCCCAAAGUGCUGGGAUUAUAGGCAUGAGCCACCACACCCAGCCAACGUUGGGAGGCUCUAUGCAUAUUGAUGAUGUUAGUGGCAUUGUAGAUAAUUAUGCCCCUGGAUCUUCAUAAGAACCCAACAAAGUAAGUAUGGCUAUUAUGUAUAUUUUACAGACAAGGGAAUAGCCUUAGGGAGAUAAGGUCACUUUGUCAAGGUAGAAUAAUUCGCAUGCAGAACAAUGAUUAAAAUUUAAGUUUGUAAUACCAAAGUUUACACCCUUAGUCCCCAAAUCACACGUUCUCUGCAGCAGGAAAGGUAAGUGCCAAAUCCUGGGAGGGUAAGACAUUAUCUUUUUCUUGUUUCAGUCAAAUUAAUUUAGAGCAAAAGUGAUCUUUGAGAUCAACCCCAAUCCCACCUUCUUUAUAGAUGAAGGAGACAAGAUUUGUGAUCAUAAGUAAUUUACUCAAGGUCGAGCUACUGACAGUGGUAGCACCAGAAAGAACAAAGGCCACCUGUGCUCUUUUCAGCAGUGUGCUGGGAAGGCCAAGAGUCUGAAAUGACAGAGGAGCGAGAUGGUGUUGACUAAGAGUUAAGAGAGCUAAGGGUUUUUGUCCCAAAUUAAAAUGAGAUUACACUUUCUUGAAAUACAAAUAUAAAUUAAAGGAUCCUACACAUGUAAGAAAUCUGUAAAGCUUUCCUGAUCUUCUAGUCCCUCAGUAAAAUUUAUACUCCUUUUCAGAAUCUCCAAGGCAAUGCCUGAUCACUCUGGCUGCUCAUCCUAAGCUCUGAUGGUGCUAGCCUCUUUUGAGUUUUAGAAGCCAAGCUCUUUUGCUGCCAUCUCACCUGCUGAUUGACCUAGUCUUUGUAGGGCUGGCUUCUUCUGUAAACCUAAAUUUAAAUACCUGCCCUCAGAGAAGUCUUCCAUGAUAUCACUGCGUGUAUGCAUGCCCUCUGCCCCAUCUUUUAUCAUUUGAUCUUUUAUUUUUCUUUCGCUUUUAUCACUAUUUGUAAUUAUUUCUAUAUUAGUUUGCUUGUUGAAUGCUUGCCACUUCUUCUAGAUUCAAAAUUCAGUGAAGUUAGGGCCAUGAUUGCAUUGUUCAACAUCCAUACCCUGGCACAUUUGUUGAGUGAUGGACUGGCUGGCUGGCUGGUUGGCUGACUAGAUAAAUGAAUUAAUACAUUUCCACCUGCCAAACCCUAAGUAUCCACUGCUGAGAACAAUUGCCUGAAGCUCCCAAUGGGGAGAACUUUACUCCCAUUCCAAUUCCACUGUAUUUUCUAAGACUAGUAAAGUUAAGUUACUAACACUUCCUUGCAUAAUUUUUCUUUUCAAACAAACUAGACAGUCAUUUAGCAAAAUCGAAAGAGAAGAGGGGCAGAAGGCAGACAUCAGUUUUAGAGUAGAGGUGAAGAAUCAAGUCCUGUCAUCCAUGGUACUGCACGUGAACAGUGUGUGCAUACAGGGGCCUGCAUAAAACUUCCUUUUUCAAAUGUUUAACAGUUUAAAAAAAAAAUCUCUGAGCUUCACUUAAUGCCCACUUACUUCUUCCUAAAUCAAGCUCCUCCUAUGCCGAUCAGCUUUCCCUACUGAAGAGACUCUCUGAUGCCUCCUGGCAUUCCUGGGGCCUUGUUCAGUGGCAGGCACCCCACUGAUGUUUGUCAGACUGGCUUCAUAGAGGAAAUGAGUAUAUUUUAGAAGAACAUUAGUCCAGAAGUAUUAUAUAAAUAUGAAGUUAAUGAUAAUCACAAUAUGAAUAGUGAUUAUUGAUUGAGUGCUUACCAUAUGCCAGGCAAUAUGUGGCUUUGCUUUCAAUGUUAUUUAAUUAUUAUAAUGACCCUUUGGAAGUAGGCACUUUUAUUAUUUCUGUUUCAUGGAUGAGAAAACUGAAGCUAAAGUAAUUAAAAAACAAAACAGGUUGGGCUCUGUGGCUCAAGCCUGCAAUCCCAGCACUUUGGGAGAUUGAGGCAGGUGGAUCACUUGAGGUUGGAGAGCAGCCGAGCCAACAUGGCGAAACCUUGUCUCUACCCAAAAAAAAAAAAAAAUAUAUAUAUAUAUAUAUAUAUUGGCUGGGUGAGGUAGCUCAAGCCUGUAAUCCCAGCUACUCAAGAGGCUGAGGUGGGAGAAUUGCUGAGGUGGGAGGCACAGGGCACAGGUUGCAGUGAGCCAAGAUCGCACCACUGCACUCCAGCCUGGGUGACAGAGGAAGACCCUGUCUCUAAAGAAAAAAAGAAAGAAAGAGAGGAAGUGAGGGAGAAAGGGAGGGAGGAAAGAAAAAGAAAGAAAGAGAGAAAGAAAGGAAGGAAGAAAGAGAAAGAAAGAACAACAGAGAAAGAGAGAAAGAACAACAAAACAAGAAAACCAAAAGUGCCCAAGCUCACAAACCACAUUAGUGCAGAGCCAGCAUUCCAAGCUGGUCUUUUUGGUUCUGGAGCCUUUGCAUCUAAUCACUCUGUCAUGAACAUAAGUCUUGUCUCACCUUCCCUUUUUCCUGAUGACAUGGGUAGAUACAUAAGAUUCAGGAAUGAUCUACUUGGUGAUAUAUUCUGAAGGAACCACAGCAAAGAGGCCUGGUGACCUUUGGGUAUGCAAGAGGGGCAGGGACUUCUCCCUCCUGUAGCCCUGGCUGUGUGAUUCUCAAGGAACUUGUACCACCCUUGGGAACAUGGAACUCUUCCAAGGAGAGCACCAGGACCAAGUUCCUUGUUAAUGCUCACAGCUGAUGGGCAGUGGAAAGAGACCAGGCCUAAAUGUGGCUCUGGACUUACCAACUUUGUGAUUUGGGGCAUAGCAUCGAAUUCCUCUGAGGUAGAGUUUUCUCAUCUGUGCAGUAAGGACGAGAGUAGCAGCUACCUAGUGGAGCUGUUGUCAAUGAAUAACACGUGUUAUUCAUUUGCACGUGUUUUGCAGGCAGCACUAUUUGUACAAUGCAAAAUUUGUUACUAAUGAUGGCACUUUCAAGUGAAAAACCUGAUGUCAUUUGGACCUGGUAAAAAUGAUCAGUCAGCGUUUGCUGAUUGAUUGGCACAACACUGAGGGCCCAAGAGUCCUGAGGUCCAUGCCUGUUGUCCAGACUCCAGUGAGUGCUGGGUCCCAGGCUUCCAAUGCUAUGGCCCCUGCAGUGGCUUCCAUUGUUGAGAAAGAUAAACAAGGCCAGGCCAUAGGUUCUCAAACAUCUGAGGUGUUUGCUCAUCACAGCAUGCUCUGGAGCAUAAAUGUGUACUUUAGUCCUGCUCACUGGCACAUUUGUAUUCAUUGAAAACAAUUGUGAAAGUCGUAAUAGUGAUAGCAAAAUACUCUGUCCUUUACUGACAGUCAGCCAAGCCUUGCAUAAUGAUCACACCGGAAAUCACCAUGGGGCGACAAAUCUGCUGGCUGAAGAAAGGAAACACUUCCAAUCAUUUCUGAGUCAGCUUUCUGACUUACUGGUUUUGGUCCUUUCCACAUGAAGCAUUUAUAGAAAUGUGCUUGGCUGUGAGAAAUAGACUUCCGUGAAUGGAGAGACGCAUGCCUCAGUUAGGGGUGUUGAGUGGUUCAGGAGAAGUUCUAAAGUGAGAGAUGAAUGGUUUCGUGUUUUGUGGUUCUGAAAGUUGGGGGGUAAGACUUUUUUAGAAGGGGGGUUGAGUGAACCAAUCAGACUGAACACAGAAUGCUUCCCCUUAGCAGGUCCAAACCAAACCACUUCUGACUUAGAUUGGAAAGCCAAGCUCUGUCCUCAUGUCACCGUUUAUGAAGCCAUUGCAUUCUUUGGCAAGAGGAUAUGGAGGCAAAUCACAAAAGGAAACAGAAAUCAUAUAAAAUCUUACUUUCAGUGGUGAGGUCUCUACUUCUUGUUGUCCGUCCUGGGCAAGAGAGAAGAGAUUCAGACCCAGAGCAUGUGAAGGGCCCUGGGUCUGAAUCCAGAACAUCCUUCACCACCAUUUUUGUAACGACUCUCGGUGAAAAGAAAGGGAGCUGUAUGUUCUAUCACUAAAAGUAACCAGGAUGCCAGUGACGCCACUUCUCUGUCCCAGCAAGGCCGCUUCUUAUCCAGUCUGAUAAUUUGGUCUUAGCCCCAUGCGACUGGAAGGCUGGACUGUCCUGGAGUCGUGAGCUUAUAAAGCAAAAUCUGUGCAGCAGAGAGUGCUUGUGCUGCUGUGUCUAUGUCUGGUAAUGCCUGGUCUUUCAAUAUAUUUGUUCUCAGUAUUUAUUCAGAAAUUUGAAGUCACCAAGAGCAAACAGUCCCUUAUACAGUUUAGAUGACACAUGCUUUUGUAGGAUAUUGUGUAUACAUUUUCUUUCAGAAAUAGAAAAGUAUUUCCUCGGCAAGUCUGGAAACAAGAGAGUUAAUUUCUCCAGCCCGACAGGUUUUUGUUUUUCUUUUUGAUGAGGUUCCCUGAGACCCACUGAAAGUCAUCUCAAAAUCCCAACAGGGUCAGCACUGAAUGUGAGGUGUGUGCAUCCAGAAGUGGGUACCUGUGAUCCUAGCUGAGUCAAAAACUUGGAAGAUGUGGGAGGGGAAGCAACGGAUUAGAAAUUUGAUGACUAUGACUGUUUGUGUGUAUACGUAUGUAAAUAUAGCAUCAACAUCUGGAUUAAAAAAUAGAAAAAUUUCUACAUUGUUACCCAUAUAUGUAGAUAUAAGGUUAUACUUGUAAAUAUAUAAAAUGCUAAAUAUCUGGUUGAAUAGUUUAUUUGCUUUCUUAGUUUUAUUUAAACUUAGACUAAGUGUAGAUGUAGCAUGUGAAUUCUGAUACAGUUAUGUAAAUAAGAUACUGUUUGUUUAUAAUUCGGGGUCUAGGUCUUUUUUCUUUUUAAGAAGCCACUGGUAACAUCUGUGACAUUUCUAAUGCAUUUGAACAUACAUGACAAUACCCUACCUUGGUGAAAGGGGUGAAUGCCUAUGCCUUUUAGGGAGCAGAUCCAAACUUGAAAGGCACUGCACCGCUGUACAGCUAGCUGGAUCUUCCUUUGCAGAUUUGGAAACGUUUACUUAACUGAUCUGUGUGGCUGCAGUUUCUAGGUAUUUGAUAAGGAAGAAGAGGAGUGACAUGCCUCUCUUCCAAAUGAAGCCGCAAUAUAGUGUUGUGUAUUUUUUAUGUUUUGAAGUUACACCUAGACCCAGGGACAUGGCAAUAUGGUUUGGGGAUCAUUAGUAAUCCCCUGGGAGCCUCUUGGUUUCCCCAGGCAUGCUUUCUGAGGUAUAACAGUAUGACUCUGUGGAGGCAUUGGUUUCUGGUAUGAAUUAACUUAAUAUAUUUAUUAUAUUACUUAUGAUUUUUAAUGAAAACCAGACAUAAUCUCAUUGGUGUUUCACCAAAGCACUGCCACAUUUACUUAUUUAUUUACUUUUGUGGUCAAUGAGGUUUUGAUUUUUUUUUUAAUCUCACUGAUCUUACAUUAGUGCAAAGGUAAUGACAAAAACCGCAGUUACUUUUGCACCAACCUAAUACUAUCCAUAGACAAAAGCAUUGUAUCCUGGUUUAUUCUACACUUUAUAGGUUGGCGCAAAAGCAAUUGUGGUUUUUACCUUUUUUUAAUGGCAAAAACUGCAAUUACUUUUACACCGACCUAAUAAGCAAUUCAAUAAACAUUUCUUGAGAGCAUCACACACUUUGAUGAGGGUGACAGUUACCAAGAUAAAAAGACAUAAUUCCUGCCCUUAACAAAUUCAGAGCCUAGUAGAGAAGCCAGAGGACAAAUAAUCAAUGCAGAUUCCUGGAUUUCCAUCUUAGAGUUUUUGAUUUAGUAGGUCUAAGUGGAGCUUGGGCUUCUGCAAUUUUAAUAAGCGCACUUGGUCAAUUCUGAUGCAGGUGCUCAUGGGUCACAUUGGAGGGGAGCACUGGUAUGCUGGAGGCAGAAGCAACAUUGAGAAGCUGGGACUGUGUUUGUUGAGGAGUGGAGUCAAGAGUUUUGAAGGAUGAAUAGGAGUACAACAAGUUGAGAGAGCAAUAGCACUUGCAGAGACAGGGUUGUGGAUCAUCAUGGUAUAUUUGGAACACUAGUUUUUUCAUGUGUUUGGAGGUUGGCAAAAGUUGUGUGUGAUGAAGUUAGAAAGUGAAAGUAAUUUCUGGAGAGUACCUGAGGCCACCUAAUUAAAGCAUUUCAGUGAAUAAAUGGGUCAAAUUGGUUUUUGAUUUCUUGUGGACGAAAACGAGGGAUGGAUUAGAAGUUUGAUCUUGCAGUUAGUCAUGAUGGUGAUAAAUGGAAACAGUCAUUACUGUGCUAAUCAGUAUGUCAUAUUCUCCUCUGAUAACCAGCACUGAGUAUUUCUAGGGAUAAUUCAGCUUAGAUGCUAGUAGUAGGGAUAUUUAGACACAGCAAUGAGUUAAAAAUAAGAAUGAGGCCAGGUGCGGUGGCACAAGCUUGUAAUCCCAGCACUUUGGGAGGCUGAGGUGGGCAGAUUACAAGGUCAAGAGAUUGAGACCAUCCUGGUCAACAUGGUGAAACGGCAUCUCUGCUAAAAAUACAAAAAAUUAGCUGAGCAUGGUGGCGCGUGCCUGUAAUCCCAGCUACUCAGGAGGCUGAGGCAGGAGAAUUGCCUGAACCGAGGAGGCGGAGGUUGCAGUGAGCCGAGAUUGCGCCAUUGCACUCCAGCCUGGGUAACAAGAGCGAAACUCCGUCUCGAAAAAAAAAAAAGAAAAUAAGAAUGUGAGCUCUUUUCCUUUUCCUUAUAUGAAUAUUCCCCCCAAAGAGUAGGCUUUCACCUGUCUGAGGUGUUUAGAUAUUUGGAUACUUGGAUGCCUGGGAGUACUUAGGUGAUGCCUCAAAAUGUCUACUCCGUAAAAUGAGAAGGGAUCUUGGGGAAAAAAUGUUGCUUUCUCUCUCUUUAGCAUCAAUAAAGCUAUGAAAAUAAUGGGGAAUGGUCAAUGGUCUUACAGUACAGAUAAAUAAAUAAUUUCCAACAGAAUAUGUGAUUUUCUUCUUGCAUUGUUUUAGAUGAAAUCAGAUGCAUUCAAGGUGGUAUGGCCAUAUACCUUGCAUUGUUUUAAACCAAGGGAAUUUUACAGUGAAUCUGAACAAGAAGAAGAUUCCAUGCAAAAUCUGGCCAUUGCUUUCCAGUUAACCUUUACAUUGCUUUAUGUUAGAAUAAAACUUUUGGUCAAUUGUUAGGUGGGUUCUGAGUCACUUGAUCCAGCAGGGGAGAGAAAGGAAAUUCUUUGGGAAACCUUGUUUGGUGACAUGCAGUUGUUGGUGAGGUAAAGAGAAGGAAAUAAAAAUGUAGUCAGAAAUUGAUUAGUUGUCAGAGACAUUCAAGAGUCAUUUUUCAUUUUUCUUUUUUAAAAUUGUCAUUCUUCAGACAUUCUAUAGACACUGUUUAUUUAUCAUGCUAUUAGCAGAAACUACGCUGCUCUAAAAAGUUACAUCAUCAAACCAAAUCCUCAUCCAGUUUCACUGCAGUGGGACUCUGCCCACUGCAUGCUGCUCCAUUAUUAUUGUAUCAGCUUUUAGCAAUAACUGACACCUAUCUGACAUAAAAUUGAUACUUGGCAGAGAAAAGAAAGCCUGUUCUUCUGUGCUUAGGGCAAGUGGAUUGAAACUUGCUUAAAAACCGUUUGGGAGUCAAAUUGGAGUAUCUGUCAGCAACAUUUCCUCACUUAGGUACAGUAACCAGAAGGUAGCAUCCAAAAAAUGUUAACCAUUGUUGGCUCUGAAUGUCUCUGAGAGAGCCCCUGUUUAGAUUAAUGGCCGGCCGACUGAAUAGGGGGUCAUAAUGGGUGGCCAGACUCUUUGCAACACAGUAGGCCUAUUGUACAUGUAACAGUGACUAAAUUCAAAGCGUUUCAUGGUUUGGAUGCUUCUGUAAAUAUACGUUAGCCUUUAAGUAAACCAGAAAUUAUACCAACUUUUAGUUUUUUUAAGAGAAUAAAGUAAGGGAAAAAAAAAAAAGAUGAAACAAACAAACACCAGAGAGCUUUCUUUUGCAACAAUGCCUUCUUUUUUUUUUUUUUUUGACAUUGCUUUUUAAAGGUGCCGCGGUCCUGGGCGAAUGAAUAUGGGUUUUUAUCCCUUGAAACAGAGGCCUGCUGUCUGACGGAGGAUUCUUUUUCCUGCUUGACUGGCAGGACUUUCUGUCUCACUCCCAUUAGAGAAGAAAUACUGUUUAGAUUUCGACACAAGAUAUUACCAGUGGAAUAAACAGUGCUAUUUUCAUGAUCAAGUGGAUGUUUAAGAUUAAGGGUUUAUUUAAGCCCACUGGUGAGUGACAUUGCACUUGAAUUAGGAGGCACUCCUACGGGAAACAAGUUUUAUCCACCUAAUUUUGCUAUUUUCUAAGUUUUUCCUCUGCAGCAGACAGAAGCAUAGAUACCGCCAUAACCUUCUGUUGAUCCGGAACGCAACACCCAGAAGUAAGCGCUUGCAAGUUUAAGACAAAGAGCUCCCAUGUAAACGGCAGGGGGAGCUCGAGGACUGGCUGCGAGGCCGCAAAGCGGCCACGCACGGGAAAGGCGAGGAGCAGUUGGAACAAUUACCCGACUUCCCUGCUUCUUUUCUUCUCUUUUUUAAAUGUAGAAAAGGAAAAAGAAAAGGAUCAUCAGCCAGAAAACGAAGGGCGCCAAAGAACCAAAUUCCUCAACCCCAAGGUGACGUAGUAGAGAUUCCCUACUACUUUGUAGGACACCAGCAACAUGGACACAAACCCUGAAGAUUGAGAAUAUGCAGAUAUUCUGAGAGAUCCCCCAGCCAAUGAGAGAUUCCAAACGGAAUAGAGAGUGCUGAGAAGACAAAAGCACAUGUAGUCUGAUAAGGGCAUGGUCUGAUAUGGGAGAAAUUUCGGUGGAUAGCGGAGGAAGCAGAUGAUGCAGUAUUCUGAGAAAGGGAUUAACAUGAUUAAAAAUGGUGGCCAAGAAAUAUGAUUCUUGUUGUUGCAUUGGAAGGCCUGGAAUUAGAGAGGAGCCAGAUGAAAUGCAGAAAGCAUGGUCGCCUUAAAGAGGAAGAAGUAAGACUGGAGUUUCAAGCUGAGGCAUGAAAGAGACGGGGUUUCACCUUGUUGACCAGGAUGGUCUCGUUCUCUUGACCUCGUGAUCCACCCGCCUCGGCCUCCCAAAGUGCUGGGAUUAUAGGCCUGAGCCACCGUGCCCGGCCAGCACAAAGAAUUUUUUAAAACUCUGCAAUAUCAUCCACCAGUCAUAAGCACGAUUAAGAUGUUUUCAGGAUUCCAGAAGACCCAAGCCUGCACACAGCGUGUUCACAUCUGUCAUGUCUGCUGAUCAUGUUUCAUUGUCUCAUCAGACUUCACCUACGAAACACAAGUAAAAGGAAAGAAAACAUAAGGGCUACGUCUUCACUUUCAAUAUGAUAUGAUAAACACAGACAUGGAACGGCAUUCAUUUUGUUUAAUAUUCCAUGAAGGCUAUCAGAUACACCAUCUUUUCUUCUGAGUAAUAGCAGGCACUCUCGGGCUGUCAGAUGAUAUGCCAGGUAGAAGCUUUCUAAUGAGAGGGAGGAUAUACAGCGGUGCUCAUCUGAUUCAGAACGUACAUGGGAUUCACCAGUAUGACACCUCAACAAAUGGUCUCUUCACACAGGUCAAUAACACUCAUUUCACAACUAUUUAUUGAUCUAUAAUUUGCAAGUUAUAGUCUGAGCACUAGGAUAUAGCAGCAGGCUCUUUUCAUGGAAGAUAGACAAGUAAGUAAGUAGUAGAGGCAGCUCUUUUCAUUUGAACUGUGAGGGAAAACCUUUCUGAACAGGAGGCUUUGAAUGAAUUUCUAAAAGGAGUCAGUCAAGUGAAGACAUGGGACGUGGCAUUCCAGGCAGGGGAACAGCCCACUUAAAGGCCCUGAGGCAGAAACAGUAGUUGGCAAAAGUGAGUAAGCAACAGAGACAAUUGACUGACAGGAGGUUGGGUGGUAAGUCAUGAACUAGAUCAUUUUAGGUCUUGUAGGCGCUGGUUAGAAUUGCUGACGUGAUUUAGUUACAGUGGGGAGCCCUUGGAGGAUUAUAAUUCAAGAGAUUACUUGAUUUUAUGUUUUAAAUGUAUCAUUCUUACUAUGAAUAAUAUUCUGUGAAUAAGAGAUUAUAUGGGCAAGUGAGGAAGCAGGGACACCAGCUGAGUAUUGAAAUGAUACAGGAUAUAAAUUAUAGCAGUAAUAAUAGCAAACACUUAAACAUGCUUACGAUAUGUCAAGUACUAUUCCAAGGACUUUAAAUAUGGCAACACACUGAGUCUUCAUAACAACUCUACCAUAAUUUCAUGUUAUAGAUAAGGUAACUGAGGCACAAAAAGCUUGAAUGGCUUGCCCAUAGCUGUUAAGUAGCAGAAAUGCAAUUUGAAGUCAGACAGUUUGUGCUCUCAGCUGGCCCUCAAUUAUGGUAGAAGCAGUGGAGACAGAGAAACAUGGAUAGUGGAUUAGUGCUCUAUUGCUGUUGUGACAAAUUGCCACAAACUCAGUGGGCUAUAGCUUAUGUCUUUAUUAUCUUAGAAUUCUGUAGGUCAGAAGUUUUACUGGGAUGAAAUCAAAACCUAAGCAAUUAGUUCCUUCUGGAGGCUAAGGGAGAAUUCAUUUCUUUGUGUUUUCUGGCUUCUAGAUGUCAGCCCCAUUCCUUGACCUGCAUCAUUCCGUGGCCCUGCCUCACAUAGGCUUUUUUCCUCUCUCCCUCCACUGCCACCUUUAUCACCUUUACCUUAGUGUCUUUCUUUUUGUUCUCUCUCUCCCUGAUCUAACUCUGAUUUUCCUGCCUCCCUCUUAUGAGAAGCCUUAUGGAUUACAUUGUUCCUACCCAGGGAAUCCAGGAUAAUCUUCCUAUCUCAAGAUUCUUAACCACAACUGCGGGGGCCCCUUUGCCAUGGAAUAUUCACAGGUUCUGGAGAUUAGAAGUUUUUUUCUGGGGCAUGGGAGGAGAGUCAUUGUUCAGCCUACUAUGCACAGGUUCAAGAUGUGUUUUAUAGGUACUAUACAAAAAAUUUUGGAGAUCCAUUGGAUGUGGGGAUUGAGAAAAGGAUUUAUGAACCAAGGAUGCCUUCUGGAUUUUUUUGGCUCGGACAACUGGCUGGAUGAUGCUACCACGUAACCAGAUGGACAAAACACUGGGGAGAAUCAGUUUUGUUGGGCUUUCAUCACGCUAUGGAAUGGUGGAGAAAUAAGAAGGAGAAAUGGAGAGCAGUGCAAACCUCAUGUACGGUCUGUUUUGUGGGAGAGAAAUGAACAUAACUAUUCUUUAAGGCAAGGUUUACCAACAGGGAGGUUAAUAAUCAGGAUCUGUAUUAUACAAACAACCAUGUGAACUUAAAAGCAGAUAUUUUUCUCAGAGUCUUCAAAUACCAGUCCAGCCAAGCUGACAUCUUGAUUUUAACCUGAUUUACAUAUGACAUCCUGUACCUUCGACUCAUUGGCCUAGUUUUUUUACACCUUGAGAGGAAGGCAAAGGAGGGACAAUCAGGUUCCUCAAAGAAAACGAACAUUGGGCUAUGAUUGGAGCUCCAUGACUAACCAUGGGAGAAGGCAAGGAGAGGUGACAACAUUUAACAGGUCAUCCAGACCUGGCUUCUGCCACAGUGGAAGUUCUUACUCGGGUGGAUGACUAUUAGACUUAUUGAAUCUGUUUGCCUAAAUCGUCUGGUAAGUGAACCCAACCCACCAUGACUAGUUAGUUUCUGUCUGUGGGUCUUCUCUGCCCAGUGUCUUUCUGUCCAAAUACUGAAGGCCAGAGAAUCCCUUUGGAACUUGGAAGAGUUUGAACCCCAUCAGCCACUCCCAGGUGGGGUUGCACAACCUUAGAGGCCCUGUUUGUUGACCACUAUAUAGUGUCACACUGAAUAUCAGACUUGUUUCAGUUUUGUUCAGUGGUUUUGUAUAAACAGAGCCUGCUUUUGUCCGGCUGUUGCAGUGCGACUUUCCAAGUGUAUAUUAUAGGUUGUUGCUUGGGGAAUUUUCUGUUAUUUAAAGUUUCGAUUGAAACCUCAAAGCUGAGAGCAGUGAGUUCUAAGUAUGCACUCUCUUAACCUAAACUUUCAAGAUUUAUCAUGAGAUUACAAAGCCAGUCCUGAGAUCCAUGUCCUAUUAGCUAAUUCCAGAAAAUACAAUAGAAAGUAGAAGUUAGAGAUUUGUUAGAGGAGGCUGUGUUUGGAGGUCUUUCUUUCUCUCUCUCUCUCUCUCUCUCUUUUUCUUUCUUUCUUUCUUUUCAGACGAAGUUUCACUCCUGUUACCCAGGCUGGAGUGCAAUGGCAUGAUCUCGGCUCAUCACAACCUCUGCCUCCUGGGUUCAGGCAAUUCUCCUGCCUCAGCCUCCUGAGUAGCUGGGAUUACAGGCACGUGCCACCAUGCCCAGCUAAUUUUUUUUGUAUUUUAAGUAGAGACGGGGUUUCACCAUGUUGACCAGGACGGUCUCAAUCUCUUGACCUCGUGAUCCACCCGCCUCAGCCUCCCAAAGUGCUGGGAUUUCAGGCGUGAGAGGUAUGUCAUAGAAGAAAAGAAUGUUACUGUCAUUCCAUUUACCAAGUAAGUCAGAAAGGGCCCCAGGAGAGUCAUGGGUCAGAUACUUUUGUCGUACAGGAAUGAAGCAUGGUAAGAGAUCACUCUAGAGCACCUGAAGUUGGUUCUGUCAGGUUUGGGGAUAUUGGAGAAUUGAAGAAGUUAUACGUGCGUUUGCCUGGAGAAUUCUGAAGACAGAAGGCUAGCUAAAGUCACCUGUGAUGAUAGGAAAGGAGGGCAGAUAUAGGCCAGUGUAACCAGGACAGAUAUGAUACUUUAAUCAAUACUACUGACAUUUUCAUAUCACUUUAUUAGGUCUAGAUCAGGGUUUCUCAGCUUUAGCACUACUGCCAUUUGGCAUGAAAUAAUUCUUUGUUAUGGGAGGUUGUGAUAUGGUUUGGCUGUGCUCCCACUCAGAUAUCACCUUGAAUUGUAAUAAUCCCCAUGUGUCAAGGGUGGGGCCAGAUGGAGAUAACUGAAUAAUGGGGGCAGUUUUCCCUAUACUUUGCUCAUGGUAGGGAAUAAGUCUCAUGAGAGCUGAUAAGUUUUAUAAAUGGGAGUUCCCCUGCACAUGCUGCCUUGCCUGCCACCGUGUAAGAUGUGACUUUGCUCUUCACUCACCUUCUGCCAUGAUCGUGAGGUCUCCCAGCAGUGUGAAACUGUGAAUCAAUUAGGCCUCUUUGCUUUCUAAAUUACUCGGUCUUGGGUAUGUCUUUAUUAGCAGUGUGAGAAGAGAGUAAUAUAGUUGUUUUGUGAAUUAUAGGAUAUUGGGCAGCAUUCAUGAUCUCUACCCACUAGAUGCUAGGAGUAAUCCCCGUUGGAAGAACCAAAAAUUUAUCCGGACAUUGCCAAACGUUAGGCAUUUGAAGGGCAAACUUGACCUUGGUUGAGGCAAGUCGUCUAGACAGUCAACAAAGCAAAUAGUCCUGAUUCAUAGUGUUUGCCAAUUUUGUGAUAUUCAUACCUCCGCCUUCGCCACUCUCAAGCUAUCAGUGUGAUGCAACUAAAGGCAGAGUUGGAAAGGGAGCAGGACAUAGUGUUUCCAUCAUGCCUAUCAGAUAGAUAAAAGUAACUUCAAGAGUGUAGAUGAUAGUAAAAUAAUAACAAUUAGGAAGUGGUGAGUUUUGAAAAAUAUAUUUUUGUUUCUGAUAAAAUGUAUUUAUUUGGUAGUUUAUAUACUUUAACUUUUAAUGAUGCCUGUGUUUAACAACUGGUUUAUAAAAUUUCUGAGAAUUUAAUGGUCUGCUCUCAUGUGCCAUGUGACUUGCCUGUAGCACACAUUUAUAGCCAAAUUAGGAAUGUAGAGAGGUGAGAUUUCUUCUCCCCACAGCUUCCGGUAUAAUGUCAAACUGACCCUAAUUUGUAAACUAAAUAAUUAUACAUGCCAUCUAUAUUUCAAGCAUCAGCCAUUCCCCAAGGGAGUCUUUGCUUUGUUAUCUCGUGGUAAUUUUUUUGUCGUCUAAUAUUUUUACAAGUUUGUAUCUGGCAUAUUUAGGGAAUUGGGGGGUUGUCUUAGUUCUUUUCCAUGUUCAUCCAUUUGACAGCUGACUCUCAGUAUUCUAUGUUCUUCAUAGCCAUUUCCAGUGUCACUGCCAGCCCCUGGUUGUUUGCUGUUGUUUCACUCCUGGAAGUCUGGAUCUCUUGCCUUUGAUGAUGUGCCUCCAUCCUGAGCAGUAGAGAGAUCAGCAGAGGCCACAAUUUCAUGUCCAAGCCAUAGAUGUUAGCUUUGCUCCUCUCCCCCAGUAUUUGCGUUUACUUUCUCUUAAAAAUCAUAUCCUCUGAAAUUUCAUUAAUGUUAAUUUCUUUAGCCUCUUCCCAAGGGAGAAAAGCCCAAUUCUGUAUUUGCUCUUAUCUUAGAUACCUUUUUUCUCUUCAUCAAUCCUCCUGGUGCAACACAGAGAAAUCACAGAAGAAUAUGUACAAACUCUGAGAUAGUCAUUUUAGAAUAACGCCAGCAAUGGGUGGUAUGGGUACACUUCACAUCUAUAGGUAGAUAGAUAGAGAGAGAGAUAGCAGAUGAAUAUAUGUAUGAACCCAUAUAUAUGAAUUAUAUGUAUUUCUUUAUGUAUCUUCUAUAUCUUGUAUGUCAUACUCACCCAUACACAUAUCCUCUUUGUAUAGGCAUAGAAUACCGAUAUUCUAUAAGUGUAGCUAUAGUGAACAGUAAUUAUUUCUGUGAAUGUGACCUGUGAAUGUUUUUGUAAGUUUGUAUCCAGUUAGCUAAAACAGGUGCCUACCAGCCUUAAUUUCUCCAGGCCUCUUUGAGACCAAACCCAGAAAGUCCUUCAGCCUCCAUUAGGUUGGUUCUAAGUGAAUGAGAGUGUUUGCUGUUGAUGUGCACUUUUCUCUUUUGUCCUCUUUCUCUAGCGUGAUUUUACUGGUUCGUGGUUCUGCCCCCAUGAUUCAGUUAUCUCCAUCUGGCCCCCCCCUUGACACAUGGGGAUUAUUAGAAUCAAGGUGAUAUUUGAGUGGGAACACAGCCAAACUGUAUCAACAACCUCCCAUAACAAACAAUUAUUCCAUGGCAAAUGGCAAGAGUGCUAAGGUCCUCUUUUCUCUUUGGUCUCUUUCUCUAGCAUGAUUUUACUGGUACUGGUUCUCCAAUCCGCUCUCAUGAUCUUCCUGCUUUACUAUAUUCUCUGAGAACAUUUUGGUAAUCGUCCCAGAGAAGCCCUAGUGAGGAUUAUCGUGUUAAAAGGGACAUGGUAAUGUCAUGCUUGUGUGGAUUUCCUUCAGCAAAUGGGCCAGCUCCCUUGUGAAACUUCAAGAACAUGGUACUCAGAGGGAUAAAGUUCAUGAAGCGGAGGGAUGAGAAGACUUCGGACACAGAUUGUGUGGAGGCUCUGAGUCUCAUAGUGACCUGGCUGUGGGAGAAGGAGGAGGCAUUCCAUGUUGGCUUCAGUGAGGAAGGUUUUGCCUGUCCACAUACCCACACAUCUCUUUCCUUCCUCCCAGCAUGCACUGUGUUCAUCUUCAACUCCACCGCCUCCUGCAGAAAAACACAUUAAUACUAAAAACAGGUAAAAAAUCAAUUUAGAGACACUGAUUUUCCUAGAGUCACACAGCUCAUGCCUGACAGAGAUGGAAUUCAAACUCAAAUCUGAUUUCAAGGUCAAUGUUCAUUCGGAAAAGAGAGCUUCUGUGUAACAUGCAUCUCAGAAAAGCGAGAGUAUAUUCGUCUUAGUGGCAAUGGAAAGAGAAAAAACUUCCUGUUGUGUGUUUCUAGAACUUGAAAUUUCACCCCUUUCACUGACAUGUGAACUCCUUUUUUUAAUGUUUCAUCCUUUUUUUAUGUUUUCACAUUUCUAUUCUCUUUCUUUUAUUGUGAUUUGGGUAAAAAUUGUUUACUUGCUUUGAUGGUUUUCCCUUAAGACAUGGUGUGUAUAUUGAGGGCAAAUUGUUAUCUUACUCAUUUCUCAUUCUCUCCAUGCAAAGCCUGGUUCUGUGCACAUAAGUAAGUGAGUAAUAAAUGUUCAUAAUGAAACAGGAGCUCUGCAUGAAGGGAGGACCCAGCACCAAAGCACCUCUCAGGUCCUGUGACAUCUGUAUUAGCAUUAAAGAUAGAAGAAACCAUUUUUUUGGCACUGCAGUUUAGUCUGCUCCAGCCAAACAUAGAAAGCUGUCAUGCGAAUAUUUUUGAACCUCAAAAACAAUUUUGGUUUAAGUCUGGGUGGGGGAGGAGGAGAAUGGUGGCUCUUAUUUCUCCCACACCAGUCCACCCAUCUCGUAUUAGAACAUGUAAUUCCAACAGUGCUGACUGUCAUAAAAUUUGUGAACAGAGUGUCCUCUGAACACUGUUUGGUACACACAUUGCCUCUUUAAGAAACUUACUUGUAGCUUAUAAUUAAAUUAAAGAACUAGCAGCUGCUGAAAAAAGUAUAGCCUAGAGGCCAUGUUUAUGAGUUUCUCAGGCAAGAGGUAGUCAUGUCAGAACCACUAUUGUUAUGAGUCUGAAUGUUUCCAAUGAAAUCUUUGCACGAAGCAUUUGCUCAGUACCAGUCAUCCACUGCCUCUUGACUUCAGCCCACUGUUUCCUCUUGGAACUGGCAAAAACAACUCUAUAAAGAAAAACAUUUUAUACAAAAAAUCAUAGUCUUCUGCUUUUUAAACCACAGAUGACCUGGACUCUAUGACCAAUUCAAAGGGGUGCUGCCUCUAGUUCCAAAGGACAGGGGAGAAAGACUACAACAAUCAUUAAGCCCAUGGAGGCAGAAACUCUGGCUUCUGUUUCCUUUGUUUCCUUUCAAAGGGAUUUUUAUGCAUUGUAGGUAGGAGAUCAACUGCCCUGGUUUAUACAGGACUGCCCUGGUUUUAGCACUGAGAAUCUCAUAUCAUGACCCCAUUCUUGGUCAAAUUGGGACAGGGGGUCAUCCCAGCAUUCAGGGCCUUAUCCAUGCUGUUAACCGAAAGUGAAACAUUUGGGGAUCAGUUUAUGAUUUAGAAGGUUUUGAACUGUCAUACCCAAAUCACACAUCAGUGGUCAUGUCCCAGUAAAAUUAUACUAUAAAAGAAGUCAUAGAAUCUCCAAACAGUCCUUAAAUACCUUUUACUCCAAAGCUUCUAAUCUGGUGUGCCCAGUGGUAGAUGUGAACACAUUGCACCACUAAUGCAGGUGUGUUGAGGUGUUAAUACCCCAGCCCUGUUUUGGCUGGGCAGAGUCUGGGAUGCCUCCAGUCCUCAGUCCCUUUCCCCUAGCCAUGAGCUAUCUUAUCUCUCUCUUUAGACCAGUGAGUGCAACUGAAUAAUAUCAUUUUCCAUAUGUGCCAUAAUAAGAAGAAAAGGUUGGAAAGUAGUGCUCAGAUCCAACCCACUAAUUUUAUGGGAAAAACCUAACUUCAUUUCUAUUAAAUACAGGCUGUAUGAAGCUAAGGCAAAACUGCUUGCAAUUUGUCUUGUGCUCAGGGUGACUUAAAUCAUUGCCUGGGAAAGUUGAGGAAUUAUGGCGUGAGUUGUGAGUGGCAAAACUCAGCAAGCUACAUUUGCAUCAAAGGCACAUGGCUGGAUAAAUGAGGAGAAAAAAAUAGACAUUUAUCUGAACAAUAUCAAUAGAAAUUCUCAUGUUGCUUCGCUUACCUGUGUUUUUAGUAAACACAUACAAUUUAUAUCUGAAUUAUCUUUGAGUUUGAGUUAACCUGAUGUUUCAUUUCCACUCUUGACUUUGGACAUAUGCAAAGUUAUAAUUCCAAAAAUCCAGAUAUCCAGAAAGUAAAGAAAGCUAAGUAAGAAUUAUACACUUAAAAUCCAAGUUUCCAAGAUCAACAGGCAUUUACACCUCCUCUUAAUUAUUCCAUAACAAUUUACUCAAGUUCAAAAUGGAGAAAAGAUACAGAGUGAAAGGCAACAUGCAAAUAAAAGUCUACAGUCUUGAGGGUAUUUGAGUUCUAAAUUCCCAUUCCCCUUGCUAGUCUUCACAGGCAUGAGUAGAGAAAGAACAGAUUCUGUGUAUAAAGCUCGGCCUUUACAAAUCCAAACUUUACAUUGUGCCAAAUUUGAAGCCUGCCCAACUUCUGGCUCUUCAAUUGCUUAAUACAUUAGUGGACUUGUUCCAGUUCCCAGUGGUCGGAGUUCCACAUCACACAGCCCCUGUCCCAUCUGGUGCUAAUUGGCACCCUUGUUGGUAGUUUCCAAAAGCAGAACAGGAAAAAUAAAAGGGACUAUCUUUCUAUCCUUAGAAGUUAGAAGCUGAGUACAGGCAGUCCUCAGUUUAAAAUGAGCUGUGUACUAAAAUAUUAUAUGUAAAUCAGCUGUUUAGAACCCAGAACAAAUUUUUCCAAUGAGACAAAGUCAUGUUUGAUUGUUGGUUCCCCAGGUCAGCCCAGUUCACAGAAACCUGUUGGACCCAUAAUAUACCCAAUAAAUUGUUUCCAUCUUAAUAGCAUAGAGCCAUCAUCAGUGAACCAAGAAGUAGGAAGAGGUGGUGAAAGCAUCACUACCUUUGGUAGCAGAGGCCAGGCUGGCUUCUCACCAGUUGUGUGAUUUUAGGCAAUUCCCAGAACUCUUUUUAGCUCUGAGUUUCUGUAACUGAAUGGAGAGGGGCAGAUGGUAAAAGUUGCUUUUUGCCUUCACUGGGUUAUUGUUGCAAGGCUCAAAUAAGACAAUACAUAUGAAAUAUCUUAAAAACUACUUUCACCUUCCACUGAAAUAAUGGAAUCACAGAUUCUCCUUCUGUUUCCUUCCUACACCUUGUCAGCAAGAGGACCAGGGACUACUUGGAAUUCAAAUUCCACAUUGUGGUUCCCAUUUGAAGAAAGUGGUUAGAAGGCAAUGAAAUAGUAAGAACAGUGACGACUGAGGGUGGCACCAAGGGGUGGCUCCUGUAGGACGGAAGACCGUUUAUUCCAUAUAAGGCCUCAAAGGUGAUUUCUUGGCCCAGGCUACUCUUUGAUAUCUUUUAUUUUCUUCCUAGAACCCCAGGGACUGGCCUGGUGUUUACAUUGUCAACACUUGCUGCUUCUGAACAGCAUAUCUUCCUUCCCAGUGUUAUUGAAGACUCAGCAUCCUUUCCGAGGUUUCAUAAUGAAUUUGAUUACCUGAUUAUAAGAGAAGGGAUAUAGAAAGUCAAAAAUCUCACCUCUGUAUGUACAUUUAUCUAUACAUGAUGUAGAUGAAAAAUAAGACCAUACAUACAUUUUUUUUUUUUUUUGAGACGGAGUUUCGCUCUUGUUACCCAGGCUGGAGUGCAAUGGCACGAUCUCGGCUCACCACAACCUCCGCCUCCUGGGUUCAGGCAAUUCUCAUGCCUCAGCCUCCUGAGUAGCUGGGAUUACAGGCACGCGCCACCAUGCCCAGCUAAUUUUUUUUUUUUUUGUAUUUCUAGUAGAGACGGGGUUUCACCAUGUUGACCAGGAUGGUCUCGAUCUCUUGACCUCGUGAUCCACCCACCUCGGCCUCCCAAAGUGCUGGGAUUACAGGCGUGAGCCUCCGCGCCCAGCCCACCAUACAUACAUGUAAACUGCAGACUUUUAUAAUCUAAGGACAAUCUUAUUUUGUUUACACCUGAAAGAUGGAGCAGACUGAGGGAAUUUAAUCUCAGAAUCCCUCUGGUGUGCUGGAGAUGGAGAGAAUAGGCUUAAACCUCUCAGUGAGGACUGGUGACAGAACAAGGAGGCAUCGCGGAGGCUGAUAAGCCUGGGCAACAAGGCAGACUUCUGGAAGAAGUGAAAAGAAGAGGUCGUCUGGGAUGAGAUGAUUGCCCUUCCCUGCCCUCCUUACCUUCCUCCCCUUCCCACAAGGAAGGGACUACUGUCCACACCGUUAUGGCAGCAUUUACUCCAACUGCAGCAUUUCACUGACUUCUGACCACUUUCUGUUCUGUCUUCAUCUUAGUGAUCCUCCUUCUGAGUUUCCCCUUGACUUAUCCUGCAGGCGCCUCCCAUCACACUGUACCAUCUUCUGUGAUAACGCCAAGCAGUCUUUUCUUUCCCUCUUUCUCCAUCUCCAUUCUUUUCAGCUACCAAUAACCUCUCCCUCCUUUUGCCUCAUUUCAUCCUCAGGCUUUUCCAUUAGGCUUCUGCCCGCUCAAUUUGAUUUAACAUUCAUUACUCCAUUAGAAAUGUGAGGAUGGUUAAACCCUAAUUCCUAGCAUUAGGCAGCUGACACAUUUACAGAUGCCAUCAGCAUGAUACAAAGCAGCGAAUGCAGAAGUGGAGUCUGAGGACACAGAGGAGGGAAAUCCAAAUUCCCAAAAAUGUGGAUUUUCUCAGAUGGGGUGUGAAGAAUCAAGGAGAACAUCAUGGAGGUGGUGGCAUCUAAGGUGGGCCUCAAAGGGUAUAUGAGAGUUCAACAAGGAGAGAAACUUUUAAGUAAAAGAAAGAUACCCUUAGGAAAAUUUCCAACUUGAUUAUUACAUCUGAAAAAGGAUCAGAGACCUAGUAAGCCACUACCACUUCCCAGGAAUAUGUCCAUUAUAUUUUCCCAGGUUAAGUGAAAGAAAAUCUUUUCCUUUUCCUUUGUGGAGACUUCAGCUGCACAUGGAAAGCUCUGACAGGAGAGGGUUGGAGUGGCAGAGACAGCUGGAUCGUGUAAAGGACAUACUCGUAUUUUUCUUUUCUCCUCAAUAUGUAGACACAGGUUCCUGAACGAAACCCACUAAAGUGGAACUCUUGAGGAAAAACAGCGAACCAAGGGUGCGCUGCAGCAGCCCAGCCAGCCCUGCAGUCCGGGAUACUGGCUCAUGCUAAUAAAUUCUCUGCUAACAACCCCCAGCGGCAAGGUUGCAAUCAUGUGGUUCUAUUUAAUGAAAACAUAAACAGAGGCCAACCCAUUCUAAUUUAGAAGAAGAGAAUAGUUAGAAUCUGGGGUUCUCAGGGCAAUGACUCAGACUUCUGAGCCAUCAACUCAAGAGAGAGCCGGUGUUAACAUGUACACAUCGGGUUGUCUGUUUUGACUUGACUGGUCAGGAAAACAGGCAGGUUAGGUUAAAAACAGAAAACAGGCAGGACAGUCAAGAAACAGUGGAACCAACUGUUUGACAGAUGAUGAUUAUUUCCGUUUCGGGCUGUCACUUAUGUCAAGUAAAUCAUACCAGUUAAAACAGAUAAACUUCACGUUCAAUAUCCUCUUCAUGGGGUUCUCCCCCCCGUCUCAUUCAUGCAGACACUCCAGGCUUCUCAGUGGCUCUUUCCUCUACUUACUUCCUCCUCUGUUUUCAUUCCUCAUUCUGGUUCUUGCUUUUGCUCGCACACCUCCCUUCUUCAUUCCACCCCUGCCUCAUGUUUCAUCCAUUCCUCAGAGAAAACAAAGAGCUGUGCACACGUUUUCUGUUCUGAAUCUAAUUCUAAUGGUGUUUCUAAUUUUUAAGGCAUUAUUCCAGAAAUCAAGUCUGGCAUUUACAUUUUUAAACCCACAGACAUGUAUAUAUUCACAUUCAAGGAAAGAGCAUUUUAAACAUUCUACACAUAUUCCCCACCUUGUUUUUAUUUGUACAGAAUGGCUAAAGAUAAGUUAUUUGCUAACACUUUCUAGGAUCAAAUGGUCAGGCUUAUUAUUUCUCAUUAGGUCUCCCUGAGUCUUCAAAGACUCCCUGAGUCUUGCAAAGAUCCCUGGGUUGAAAGUCAGAAGAUUUCUGUACUUCCUUUUCUACCACAAGUCAGUGUUUGGCUUUCUUUCUUCAAGGUCUCUCUCUCAUAUUUGAACAUCAGAGUGUUGGUCUAUUUGAUUUCUAUCAUUGUAACAUCUUAGUAUUGUGAUUCUCUAAGGCUCCUUAUAUAAUAGAUAAUCAACAUGGGGCAUUUAGACACUUGCUAUUUUUGGCUUUGUUAUAAACCUAAUAAUGAACACCAGAGAUAAAGUCUGUCUGUCUUUCCUAUACUUGCAUUGAGAAAUGACUAAUUGGAUAGCCCAGAUUUCUCAAGAUCUCUCCUUCCUGCAGAUAUCUGUACAGCAUGCUAAGAUUAAAGACUCAAAUGUCACUAUCACGUGUCCUCUUAUGCUGACACAGGUCCCCUCAACCCCUGGAAGUUUUUAUCCUACAGAAGAUUUUGCCCUGCUUUCUCAUAUGGCCACAGAUAAGUUGGAUCUUAUGUUGUGGGACACAGCUGUUUUUAAGCUGGGGUUGUUACUGCCCUACUGGGCAUGGCUGAUACAUUUCUGCUGUUCCAUGCUUGACAUUUGACUAGUUCAGCAAUCUCCCCCUGGCUGCUGCUAAUGCUGUGCUAGGUUUAAAAGCCUGCACCAGAUGCUGCCCCUAUUCCAUUGUUGGGUACCUUGCCUUUCUGACUGAUACACAAGGCAUGGCAUUUUCUCCUGACUGACCACCCUUAGGCAUUUGGCAAGGCAUGGCAGAUAACGUGCCAGCUCUGCCAGGCACCAUGCUGUGACUGCAGGGCAGCAAAGCUGUGUGAUGACUUAUAUCCUAUGGAAAAGUUUUGAGGGGAAACUUCUUCUUUCUGCUAAGUUCUGCUAGAGGGAAUCUCAAAGCAGAGUUGCUUAUGUCACAAAGUAAAACUACUUCAGCAUUUACUUAGAACUCUCUGCUUCCCAUCAUACUCAGACUAAGCUGAACUGCAGUUAACAUAGGGAUGAAUCUCAGACUUGCUGUGUUCAGAAUCAUCUUCCUCAUCCCAUGACAAAGAGUCAGCCUAAUCGUUUACUGAGUCAACUUAAUCGUUUCUGGAUUUUUCCUCUGUCAGGGCCAGUUCUCUUCCAGAAACUUUCUCAGUCUUUAUGCAAACAAGAUUUUGGGGGCUGACACUGCUUUUUGCCAGAUGUCCCCAGACACAUCUGAAUCUCUUCUAGCUUCAAGCUGGAGCCUUUAUCACCAUUGCAUAAAAAGCUGGGUAUAGUUCAAAUUCCUGAGUGUAUAUUCUUAUUCCCUUGGGCAUUUACACUCUGCCAUCCCACACAGUUCCUCCUCCUGUGUGAGGGUCCUAUUGCAAUUCAUCAGUGUGCCUUUUUUUUUUUUUAUGGUUUGCGAUGUUUACAUCUGGUUUCUCCUUUUGAAUGGUAAGCUUCUCAAAGAUAGAUCUUGUUUUCUUCUGUAUGUCCUCUCUUGUGUCUUGCAAAGUGCUGCUCACAUAUUAAGAUUUUGCUUGGGACAGAGAUAUGAAAGAAUAUCACUGGUGCUUUUGAAACAGUAAAUUAAUUUAAAACUUCAAAAAUCAGAAUUCUGAAAUGAUAGAAAGAAAAAUGUGCCUCCUGGGGCCACAGUAACUCAAUGAGCCCAAGACACUGGGACAGGUCCUCUGCCAGAUUCCCAAUAGCCAUACCCAAGAGUGUUGUUCUUUUUUAAGUACAGAAAGAUGUUCAGCUUUGAAUGACUGGACUGUGUCUGAUGAUUUAAUAUGUAGAAUAAUUCCCUAGGAAAAAAGUCCUAGGGAGGUCAGUAUGAAACAGUGGGAAGAUGGUAAUUAUGCAGAACUUUGAAGGAACUGCAACACUUGGGUUAACUUAAUGUUGUGGUUAAUUGCAGGUUAGUCAGAAAAUCAUUAUUUCAACACUGUUUGAGUAAUCCUUACAAAAUGCCUUUAGCAAAUUCCCAUGUUGCAAGCAUAGCUACAUCUUUCUUUGUUGUCUGAGGAUUUUUAGGGCCUUUAUGUGAAUAUUGCAAACACAAAUAUUCAUUUAAGUGUAAGAGGGCAAGAUGGUGCAGGAAAUUGGUCUUUCCCUGAAUUAACCAUUUUAUAUUCCCUAGACAUUGGUUUAGGUGAGUUUUUGAUCUCAGGUUAAUUUUUUGUAAUUAUCUCUUCUUUACUAUCCCACUCUUAAAAUUACAUUUGUAACAUUUUAUGAUUGAAAACUAUGCAUAUAGAAAAUUGGAGAACUAUAGGAAAGUAUUGCCCCAAAUGAUUUCCUUCACUUAGACAAAACCGCUUUUAACAUAAUUAGUUUUUGGUUUUUGUUCCUGUUUCCAAUUAUUUUUCCCUUAAAUAUUAACAUUUUAAAACUAGUUUGAAUGGUUUUAAGGAAAAGUAUACAGACUAAAGUAACAUCUGUAAGUGACAAGAACACUGAAGCUUCACAGAAGAGUGAAAAAUGUAUAGGUAAAAACAAGUCUUUCUCUGCAUACAUCUUCAGCCUCCAUGACUUGCGAUAAUUUUUAACAGUUUAUAUCUAUUUUUUUUACGGUUUAAGAUGUAAACUUUACAGCAUUUAUGUAGGACUUCAGUUAAUAAUGGUAGGUUGAAUAUCUCUGUUUAGUUCUAAUGCCUCCCGAAACCCUCAAAAUGACUUUAAAAGAGAUUGAAUGUGAACGUCAAGGUUACAAUAAGUUAUCAAGAUCAAACAAAAUGAUAACAACCAAAUCUUAGAAGGUGGAAUUAGUGGUUUCAACUUGUAUUAUACUAAACCUUGAUUUCAAGAUUUAGAUUCCACCUGCUAUAUUCUGUCCUGUAUACAAUAUGUACUUCUCAAGCUGUAUUCUGUUUGCAAACUAACAAGUUAGCCUGACAUAAUACCAUGAAUUCUGGUAGAGGACACAAGUUUCUUGGGUCAGAGACAAAGAACUUUAUUACACAUGACACAACAGAUGGCAGAUCUUCUUCUGUGCGAUGCCCUUGCCCCUGAGUGAUGCAGAACCAUGCAGGCAGAUGCUGUCCACUUGAAGGUUAGCAUCACAGCUGAGGGAUUCAGCUUAGAAAAUCCCAGUCUUCUAUAAUGGCUGACUAGUACGUCUUCCUAACUUUUGCCCUGGUGAUAAACAUUUUCUUUAUUAUCUUGGACAGCAAUCAAAUCUGUCCAUUGCUCCAGAAAAAGACUAUCUCUAUUUUCCAGGGCUCUCCAUUAGACAAAUACCCUUGUGCAUAAACACGAGAUCCAUGUAGAAUCGUCUACCAACAAUGAUAAAACUCAAUAAUAAUUAUUUUAAAGCAACAGGAUUCCAACAUUAAGAAGAUUAAAGUUGCAGUUUGACUGUAUACUAUGCAAAAAAAAAUGUCAAGACUCUGGUUCAAGAUAGCAGAUUUAUAUCACCCAUUGUUCUUCCCAAGUAGCCAAUGAAAAAUCACACAUAUAUACACACACAUAGACAUAGACAUGCAUAUAUAAAAUCUGCAUAUUUUAUAUAUUCCUCAUACAUAGUUUUAUACAUGUAAAAUAUGCACAUUACAUAUGCAUAUAUAUAAUUGUGUGUGUUCACACAGACACACACACACACACACAUACUAGUAUUUAUGUAAUAAUAGACACAAAAAGCAAAGCAAGUAAGGUAGAUAAGGAAAUUAGUGACCACCAGGUAAUAAACAUACCCGUGAAAGCACAUUAGAUAGAGCAUGUUGAGGGAAGACAGUGCAUGAGAGCCACUGCUCCGAAUAUGCCUCAAGGGAGCUUCAGAGAAAUGGCAGUACAUAUGUUUGAGAGAUCAAACUAUUAGAAAUGAGGAAAACGCAAGAAGAUUCCCUAAAGGAGUGUUAAUAAGGAAUAGUUGCUCACAAUCUCCCCGAGCUCAGGCAGCAAAGCUGCCAUUUCUAAGGAAGUUGAAUGAGCUAUUUAGAAAUAUGCCUAGUGUAGGUGUUGGCAUCACAGGUUUAAGUCCUUCUCAUUACAUUCUUACAAAAGAAAGGGUAACAGUCUGAGAGCUUUGUCUUCUUCACUGAAGCAAACAAAAGCUGACUAGCUGACAUGUUCUGCUCUGUCUCCUGCUGGCAGCGAGGAAUAUUCUCAUCUGAAAGAGACUGAAGGGAAAAGAGACAUAGCAGCAGAGGAGAUCCUUAUUAGCUACGCAGUUAUUUCUUAAAUAUAAAUAAACAAGUAAGGAUUACUAGAUAUGUAAGAAAAAGUGGCACAAAAGAGAAAGAUUUUUGAAAUAAAAACAGAAAACCCAUCAUAGAGGAAAAAAUCAGAAAACAAAAGCAACAUAAAAAUAAUAUAACUUGAGUAAUUUGAGGUUUCAUUGCAUCCACAAAACAAGAGCAAGGUGUUUUUUAAAAAAAUCAAAGGAUGAGAAUGAGCUUUAAAGAGAAGCGAUAGGGUUCCAAAGUUAAAAACAAAAGCUAAAAGUUCAUGGAAAAUAAAGCUGAGGAAAUCACUCGGUAAAUAAGCAAAAAAGACAAGAAAAGAGUCACGGAUGAAAUAAUUGGAAAUCUAGAAAACUUUUAAACUGGGAAAUAAGCCAUUAGGAAUAAUGAGUGAAGCUUGCAAGAACACUGACUACAAGGUCGGUAUACAAAAUUCAAGUAUUUGUAUGCACUAGAGGUACAUAAACGAAAAAAAAUUCAAAUUACCACUUACAAUAGCUGUAAAGUAAUCAAAUAUCUAGAAAGAAACUUAAUAAAAAUUUUGUAAGAUGUAGAAAUAUACAAUAUUGCUAAGAGAAAAUGAAUGUGUCUAAAACAAUUAGAGACUAAUUAAAAAUAUGGCACACUUAUGGCUUAGGAAUUCAGUUUUGUUAAGAGCUCAAGUCUACCUGCCUAAAAGGUAGAUGCAGUGCAGUCCUUAUCAAAUACCAACACAUUUUUCUUUAUGGAAAUUGACAAGCUGUUUCUAAAGUGAGUAUGGAAAUAUAAAAGUCAAAGACUUUCCAAGACAAUUUUGGAGAAGAAAAGAUAAAGUUGCAAUAAUUAAUCAGAUUUUAACAUUAGCAGUAAUAACAGUAAUUAAGGGAGUGUGGUAUUGGUGCAAGACUAGACAAGUCAGUAAAUGGAACAGUAUAGAGAGUCCAGAAAAGGGCCCACAUGUAUAUAGUCAGUUGAUUUUUCAGCAACACUGGUACUGCAAUUCAGUGGGAAAAGUGGCAUUUUCAAUCAAAAUGAUGCUAGUGACUCUUCUCUCACGUCAUACACAAAAAUUAAUGUGUGUGGAUCGUAAAUGUAAAUAUAAAGAAUUUUUUUUUAAAAGGGUUUUAGAUGAAAAUGUAGGAGAAUAUCUUCAUGAAUCUGGGAGUAAGAAGAUAUAUCUUAAAUAGGCACUAAUCAUAAAUGAAAAGAUUAAGAACAUGUGUGUGUGUGUGUAUAUAUAUAUAUAUAUAUAUUUAUUUUUUAGAUGGAAUCUUGCUCUGUCACCCAGGCUGGAGUGCAAUGGCACCAUUUUGGCUCACUGAAACCUCUGCCUCCUGGGUUCAAAUGGUUUUCCUGCCUCAGCAUCCCAAGUAGCUGGGACUUCGGGCAUGCCCACCACCAUGCCUGGCUAAUUUUUGUAUUUUUAGUAAAGACAGGUUUUCCUCAUGUUGGUUAGGCUUCUCUUGAACUCCUGACCUCUGGUGAUCCACCCACCUCCACCUCCGAAAGUGCUGGGAUUGCAGGUGUGAGCCCCUACACCUGGCUUCUUUAUACUUAAACAAUUCUAUUAAUGUAAAAACAUCAUUAAGAAAAAAGGCAAGCUAUGGCAUGCAAGAAGAUAGUUGUAAUACAUAUAUCUAAAAACUACUUCUGUCCAGAAUAUAUGGAACCUUCUACAAAUCAAUGAGAAAAUGCACAGAACUCAAUAAAAAUGCAUAAAAAAUACCUGAGCAAAAAUGUUAUAAAAGAAGAUAUCCAAAGGGCUACACAUAUAGAAAAAAUGUUCAACAUCAUUACUCAUUAGAAAAAUGCAAAGCAAAGCCAUAAUGAAAUGCCAUUUAUACCCACUGGAAUAACUAAAAUUAAAAACACUGAAAGACUGACAGUAACACAUAUUGGUAAGGUGGUUGAACAACUGGAAUUCUCAUACAGUCUCCUAGCAGGAGUGUACAUUGGUAUAGUUACUUUGGAAAAAAGUUUGACAGUUUCUUAUAAAGUUAAACAUAGAAACCCAAUAAUAAUUCCAUUUUUAGAUACACACGUAAAAGAAAUAAGGAAUAUAUUCUUCAAAACUAAUAUACAAGAAUGAUCACAUUUGCAUUUUUCAUAAUAACUCCAAACUGAAAACAUGUCCACCAAGAGGAGGUCUAAUAGUUGUGGAAGAUGGAAAAUUAUACAGCAUUUUACCAACUACUGAUAUUUUAAAUCACAUAGAUGAAUCUCACAGACAUUAUAUUACAUGAAAGAAGCCAGAUAAAUAAGAGUGUAUACUGUAUAAUUCCAUUUACAGAAAGUUCAAGAACAGGCAAAACUAAAUGAUGAUAUCUUGAAAUAUGAGGUUAUUGACUUCUGAGAUGCUGGAAGCAUUCCAUAUCUUUAUCUGGGUAGUGUUAUAUGAGUAUAUAAAUGUGUAUAUACAUUUAAGAUUAACACAUUUCAUCGUAUGUAUGGUUAAAUAAAAUUUAAUCAAAACAAGAGACCAAUUCAGGUGAUCCUGUCUUAGUCUGCCUUCUGCUGCUGUAACAGAAUAAUACAGACUGGGCAAUUUAUAAAGAAAAGAGAUUUACUGUGCUUAUAGUUCUGGAGACUGGGAAGUCCAAGGGCAUGGCACUGACAUCUGCUCAGCCAUCUGGUGAGCGCCUUAUUUUUGUGUCACCCCAUGAAGGAAAGCAGCCAGGCAAGGGAGCAUAGGAGACAGGAAAAAGGGCUGAACUCCUAAAAUAACUAACCUACUACUGUCAUAAUGGCUUUAAUCCAUUCUUGCUCUAUGACCUAAUCACCUCUUAAAGGUCCCACCUAUUAAUGCCACCACACUGGCAAUCAAAUCUCAAUAUAAAUUUUGGAGGGGACAUUUUAAACCAAAGCAGUUUACAAACUCACCUACACCUAUGACAUCUAAAAAAGAAUGGUAAAAAUAGGGGAAGGGGAUUGGUUUUUACUGUCACAAGAGACUUCCCAGAAUAUUCAGAUGGAAGGGGUUCACUGUUAAGCAAGAUGAAUCUAAAAUCAGCAAUAUAAAAUAUUCUGAUUAAAUUAUAAUGUACCUAGGAUCAAGGCAUGUUAUAAAAUCUUCUGGACAUGAAAAAAAAGCCAUAAAUAAAGGAAUAAGGUACAUAUAAAUGUCAGACUUCUCAUGAACAAUAGGAUAUUUUCUCAUGAAAAUGAAGCAAUGUUCCCUCAAAGUUCUGAGCCAGCAUAUCAAUCAGAGAACAAAAUAUAUAUAUAUAUUUUUUUCUGACAGGCAAGGGAGGGUAAUGUUUAGCUUUUAAUCAUACUCUUUAAGGAAGUUAAUUGAAGAUAUAGUUAAGCAACAGGAGGAAAGAAACAAAAACUGGGAGACAUGAGGUUCUGAGGAUCAUGGCUCCAACGUAUGAUGGUGGAAAAGGGGAGUUGCAAAAUGACUGCUACAAAACAGACUCAAAAAGAAAACAUUCCACUUUCGUGUAGGAGGACGAAAGAAAAAAAUAUGAAAUAGUGUCCCCAAACUGAAAUGUGUGUUGGAGAAAGUUAUUAUGCAAAUAACACAGAAAUUAAAAACAUAAUCAAAAAAGUAAAAUAGAACAGAUUCUAUUUAGCCUUGCUGCAAAAGGACAUUUUACUUUGAGUAGUGUAGGGAUCUGCUUUGAGUAACCCACGGGAAAGGAAAUAUGAUGUUAGCCCAAAACUUGAGCCAAUGGUGAACUAAUUUUGCAAGUUCAACAUAUAAUAUGUAAAGAGCAGGAAGGCCUUAUUUAUUGUUGAGGGACACAGUAUGAAUGUUCACAAUCUUAACAAUGCAAAAGACAGAGAUGCGCAUGACAGAGGAAGUGAACGAAGAACGGGUAGAGGAGUUGGAAAAGCUAAAAUUCUUCAUAGAAGAAAGUUGAGAUACUAACUAAAAUAGACGGGAAAAGAAAUACAAGUAUAUUAUUUAAAGUCACAAAGGUAAACAGUAAAAUAUUUUAAAAUAACAGCAUUACCAUCAAACUUUGAAAAGAGCGAGUGGUAAGGAUGGAGAAGUAGAAGUGCACUGGCAUGAAUAAAACUGAAUUCAUAAAGAAAUUAGGUCUAAAUUGUUAGAGUUAGGACAGCAGUCCAGUGGGAGAGUCCAGUGAAGAUUGAGGUAAAAAUAUUUUCCUCGGCUGGGUGCGGUGGCUCAAGCCUGUAAUCCCAGCACUUUGGGAGGCCGAGGCGGGUGGAUCACGAGGCCAAGAGAUCGAGACCAUCCUGGUCAACAUGGUGAAACCCCGUCUCUACUAAAAAUACAAAAAUUAGCUGGUCAUGGUGGCGCGUGCCUGUAAUCCCAGCUACUCAGGAGGCUGAGGCAGGAGAAUUGCCUGAACCCAGGAGGCGGAGUUUGCGGUGAGCCGAGAUCGCACCAUUGCACUCCAGCCUGGGUAACAAGAGUGAAACUCCAUCUCAAAAAAAAAAAUUUUUUUUUUUCCCGUAGGAGUUAAGAUUGGUGUUAGUGAGAGUGGCGGUUGCUUUUCUCCCCGUAAACUCUUCAGCACUACUUGAUCUGUCUGUUCUUUUGUUCAAAAAUUAAAACUAAAAUGUAAUGUCUAUUUGCUAUGGGUGCUACCCCUUAUCCCCCAGAAUUCAUUCGCUGCUUCUUUUCAGUAAUAACAAUCAGAUUUUCAACCCUCUGAGCACAGUUCCUAAGCUUUAGAAGAAGGAAGUUCAGCCACAGAUCCCAUCCUGUCUGCCCAGUGCUUAGAGAAGGUCGCAGAACAUGCCCCAAAUGAAGCCUGUACAGCAUGAGUCAGAGAACUCUGGCCAGGAUGUCUGGGGAAGAAGUUUCCUCUUUCUUCUCUGGGACCUACCUAGAGAGGGCUGUUUUAAAGCUGGAUGUGAACAUCCACUCAUGCAGCCCCCGAAGCCGCUCACAGACACAAUGUGACCAUAAGGUCUCAAAAUAAAGGUGACACUGCAGGAAUCAGGGAAAGGAGGGAAAAAAAAAAAUGUUUAAAGCCUCAUUUAAGGCAAACCCUACCACCUGAAUAUUUAAGUUACUUGGGCCAUUCAAUUUUAUUUUUAAAGCCAGUUCAAGUCAGGUUUUUUUUUGUUAAAUAACCAAAAGAUUCCUGAAAGACAAAAAAACCAAACAAACAAAAAACCAAAAAAACCACUUUGAGAAUGUUUAUGAAACAACCUAAAAUAUUUCAAAGAAUUUUAUAGAUGAAAAAACAGUAUCACAGAUUUCCCUUUUGUCUUCAUAGCAUUCUCAUGAGGAAGGAAAUUGUUAUCCAAGUGUUAUGAAAGAGAAAACUGAACGGAAUGGUCAGAUGACCUACUCGAGUCCCCUUAGUUAUAAAUGACCAGUACUUUUGACUAAGUACUGCGCUCUUACCAAAUUACCACCCUGCAGGUGUAGACAAAUGAACCGAUGGAAUAAAUAGAGAGCCCAGAAAUAAAUUCAUGCCUAUGCGGAACUUUAAUGAGGACAGAGAUGGCCUGGCAUUUCAGUGGAGAAAAGAGGGAUAUUCAAUAAAAGGAGGUGGAAAAAUUGGUUGUCCAUUUGGAAAAAAAGGUGAAUUUGGAUCCCACCCUUACACCAUACCCAUAAAUCAACUCCAGAUGGAUUAGAGGCUUAAAUGUCAAAAGCAAAUUUUAAACACUUAGUAGAAAAAUAUAGGGGGAUAUCUUUCCAAUCUUGGGGUAGAGAAGGAUUUCUUAAACAGGCACAAAAAAUACAAUCCAUAAAAGAUUUUCGAUUAUUGACUAUUAAAAUUAAGAAAUUCUGUUCAUCAGAUGAAUUCUUAAAGAAGAUGAAAAGGUAAGCUACAACCUGAGAAAAAAUUUAUUUGGAACACAUAAUUGAGAAAGGUUUACUGUCAAGUAUAUAUAAAGACACAUGAAAUAAUAAGGAAAGGUCAAACAGCGCUACAGACCAAAGAAAAAGUAACAGUAAACAUUUUGUAGAGGAAAAAGAGAAGGAGAAACACAUACAAUUAAAAAUAUAUGGAAGGAUCUUGAGUCUUAUAGCAAUAUUGAUGAGCAAAUCAAUAUGUAGAAUAGCAAAUCAAGACUAUAAUGGAUAUCUCUUUAGCUUCAAUUUAUUGGCAAUAAUUAAGAAUUUAAACUACAAAAAAAUUGAAAAGUAUAUGGAUGAACCAUGUUUCUUAUAUAGUGCCAGUAUAAAUUGGUUAACCACUUCACAUUAUCUUUUAAGGAUUAAUAUUCACACACCCUCUGACCCAACAAUUUUCUAGGUGUGUAUGCUAAAGGAAAUGAUUACCUUCGUGUACCCAGAGUAACACAUAAAAGUGUUCAUAAAAGUACCGUUUAUAACAAGAGCAGAGAGCAAAGGCCCAUCAAGAGAGAAACAAAUUGUAGUGUAUCUGGAAUAACACUGCAAUGAAAAUAAAUGAACUACAGGUAUACGUGAUAAUAUGAUGCUUAGUAAUAGCAAUUUCUCAGAUGAUCACAGCAAUAACAUUUUUGAGCCAAUGUAUAUUUGCUAAAAUUAUCUUUUAAAAAAUGAAAGAAAAUAAUAUACAAAAUUCAGCAUGUCAGGGUUGUUGUGCAGGAGGGAUGGGGAAGACUGGAUAGAUAGGUGCAAGCAUUGCUCAUGUUCAAAUUCUUGGGUUGGGAGUUGGUUUUUAUCACCAACAAAGUAAUAAGCCAGGGAAUGUGAUGGGGAAAUGAAGAAAUAAAAUAGAGUUAUGAUUAGACCAGUGAUGAUAGUAUAUCAAAAAUCAAGUCUUCUUACUUUUAAAAUGGAAUUAAUAACACUACUUAGUCUCCUAGGGUUGUUAUAAAGUUGAAAUUCUUAGAAUAAUGCCCGGUAUAUAAUAAGUUUUAUAUUAGUAUUUGUGAAAGCUGAAAGAGAGAGAAGAGAGAGAGAGAGAGAGAGAGAGAGAGAGAGAGAGAGAGAGAGAAGUAAAAGUAAGAAGGAAUGAAGAAAGGAAAGAAAGAAAUAAUAAAUAAUCAAAUUUUGUGCACUCGAAGUCCAUUAUUAAAGCAUUAACCCAAUGCAGAGGUGUCAAAUAGUGCAAAUAAGAGUGAGCCUAAUGAGGGAAAUUCCCGAGAUGGGUAAAGAUUUGAAAUAUUUUUUUAAUGUAAAAAGUAUUGCUAAAACAUAAAUACACCAGUGGAUUGGUUUACUAGUUAACAGGUUAAAGUUCCAGCUUCUAUUUUCAGAGUGGAACUUAGUUGCCACGAUAAUAGGAGGUGACAUUUGUUUGAUUUUCCUCCCUCGAGUUGUGGAAGAAUCCUAUAAACUCCUCUAUAAAUAACCAAGUAGAGGCCGAAAGGUUUCCUGUAACUUACAGCCUAAAGCCAGUAACCUCUGAUGGCAGUCUGAGUGGUGGUUGAAUCAGCAGGGUGGCAGCGAUCACAGGGGGAAUUCCGCAUCCUCCAAGGAGGCUUGACUGAGCAUGAAUGGCUUAUACUUUGUGUCCCUCAGUCCUCAGUAGUAGCCCAUUAAGAGGCAAUAAACAUGAAAUAUUCCACUUGGCGCCUUAGAGCUCUUGAGCCAAUGAAUACGACUCAGCCCCUUUGGCCUAGGAAAACAAUGUCCAGUUGUUACGUGAGAACAUACAGAGGACAUACUCUAUUAACUGAGCAACACACUCCAUCUCCCAGCUAGGAGCAGUGACCAAGACCACAAACCCUUCAUCUGAGCAAAGUGCAGACUUCAAUAAAUUCGAAUGCUUAGUGAAAUAUACCUGUCUUAUUCUGUUUAAGGUGGGAUCGCCAGGGAAAUAUGUGUUUUGGGGGCAUGAGUUAAAUUGGUGACGGGGUUUAGGCCACUUACAGAAAUGGAUUAUUCAGAUCCCAAGGUAAAUAGGCAGACGCUUUUAACUUCUUUGCUGUAGCAGCCCCAAACCUACCAAUUAUCUUGCAUUUAUCUUCUAGCUUUAGUUCUUUCUCCCCAUUGUCAAAGUGCUUCUUGGCUGCCUGUGGGGUUGGCAUGAAAAGGAUUGAGCGUCAGAGUGGAUGUCUCUUUGCCCACUUUUUGGGUUGUGGUCUAGAAGCAUAUUGUGAUUUCUACAAGACACACGUUCCCAUUUGGAGCUUUAACAAAUUCAACCGUUUCAUGUUCUGUAGAGAAGUACUGAGCAGCUUAAAGCAUUUGAAUGGGAGGAGGAGAAG